This 86584-nucleotide long non-coding RNA is filed under the name Gossypium barbadense (sea-island cotton). RNAcentral describes it as "long non-coding RNA (GBAR_LNC019976)". Lineage: Eukaryota; Viridiplantae; Streptophyta; Magnoliopsida; Malvales; Malvaceae. The record is from RNAcentral.
AAAAAGAAGAAGAUAAAACUGCAAGCCAAGUGGAGCACGACCAAUUACUUAAAAGGCAUGUUUGUUUAACUUUAAGCAGCAACACUAUGGAGCACAACAGUCUCAACAGUGAGGCCAGGUCCGAACCCAAAGAGCACUCCCCACUCCAGUCCUUCUCCUGUGGUCUGAAGUCCAUCUUCCCUUGAUUUCUUCCUCAUCUCAUCCAAAAUGAAUAAAACACAAGCACUUGACAUGUUACCAUACUCUGAAAGAACGUGCCUUGUGGCUCGUAGCUUCUCUGGCUUCAGUGCUAACUUGGCUUCUACCUGGUCCAAUAUUGCUGGACCACCUGGAUGAGCAAUCCAAAAAAGGGAGUUCCAAUCGGAUAUGCCCAAUGGUUGAAAUGCUUCUACCAGGCUCUUCUCUAUAUUCUUCGAAAUAAGCCCCGGAACAUCCUUAAGAAGGUGAAAUGUAAGCCCAACUUCACGAAGGUGACCAUCAAUUGCACCAUCACUAUCUGGCAAGAUCGUUUGGGCUACUGAGACUAGUUCAAACAUGGGCUUCUCGAUUUCGGGCAUGGGGUCUGCCCCGAUUAUAACAGCUGCGGCACCAUCACCAAACAAUGCUUGGCCCACUAGACUGUCUAGGUGAGUGUCACUAGGUCCACGGAAGGUAACAGCAGUAAUCUCCGAGCACACAACAAGUACACGAGCACCUUUGUUGUUCUCAGCUAAGUCCUUAGCCACUCGGAGCACCGUCCCCCCUGCGAAGCAACCUUGUUGGUACAUCAUGAGGCGCUUAACGGAGGGGCGGAGGCCCAAAAGCUUGGUGAGCUGGUAGUCAGCCCCAGGCAUGUCCACACCACUAGUGGUGCAAAAGACAAGGUGGGUGAUCUUGGACUUGGGCUGGCCCCACUCCUUAAUGGCCUUGGUGGCUGCUUCUUUGCCUAGCUUUGGCACCUCAACUACCACCAUAUCUUGCCUAGCAUCCAGUGAAGGAGCCAUGUAUUCACAUACAUUGGGAUUCUCUUUCAAAAUCUCUUCUGUAAGGUACAUGUAUCGCUUCUUGAUCAUCGAUUUUUCACCUAAAUAAUCAAACACAAUAAACUUACUUUUAAUUCUCCCAACUUAGCAUAUAAGAGUGUUUUAACUGAUUUUUUAUCCAACUUCACUAGAUAUGGAAAAUAUCAGUUUAGGUCCCCCCUUCAAAUUCUCUGUCUCAUAAAAGCUUCAAUCGUCGGAAACUUUUAGGUGGGUCAUGGGCGGAAAUAAUGGAGUCUUAAGACCUUUAUAAGAUUCUCUUCUAAUAGUUUAUUUAAUAGUUUGUCUGACAAAUAUAUUUAUUUUAAAAAAUAUUAUAAAUAUUAGACUAUGCAGAUUUAUAAUUUGAAUAAAAAAUUUAUUUAAAAGUAUAUUUAUAAAAAAAUUUUAAAAAUUAUAAUUGAAAUGAUAAAAUUAUUUUUUAAAAAUUAUAGAGUUAUAAAUUAAAAUUUCAUAAAAAUACUAUAAUAUAAAAUAUGAAAGACAAAAUAAUUUCAAAUUAACAUUUAUUAUUGGUCCAAACAAUUAAUAUUUAUAUUGUUUAGUAUAAUACUUGGAACUAUCCAUAAUCCUUUCCAAUAUUUAAAUAGGAGGAUAAAUAUAUAGUAUUGUAAAAAAAUUAAAAAAAGUAUAAACUAGAACAUCUAACAACUUACUAAUAUUUGGAAAAAAAAACUUAUUAAUUCACUAGUAUAAAUUUCAAACUUCUGUUGGUAGAAAACGUGAAACUAAGGUUUGAGACAAAUUAAGUCUGUGGAGUUAUAUGAUUUAAAUAAAUGUGCUUUACAAGAAAUGAACCUAACAAACUUCAAUCUAGUUUCCUUGGAACCAGAAAAGAACUUUAAUCUAUUUUCAAGUCAUACUAUAUACGUAGCUAACUUCUUUUCCAUUAAAGUAUUUGCAUGAAAAUGAUAUGAGCCAUGCACAUCUAUCUUUCCCCUCUUUUAUUUUCAUGGCCGAAUCAUGUAUGAAACACAAAAUCACCUUAAGUUUGUAUAUAAGGUAAUUUAGCUUUUAGAUCAAAGUAAAAAACUUACACAUGCGCUUGAACUUCUCUUUCAACUCGGUCUUGUGCUCACUAUUUGUGAUACGGAAAUAGUAGUCAGGGUAUGUGCUCUGAUCAACACAAUUAGGCGGGGUUGAUGUGCCGAUGGCCAACACGGUGGCAGGGCCUUGGGCACGUUGAGCCUUACGAACUUCUUCCACGGUCACCAUUCUUUUUCGGAUGAUCAGAAACAGCCAAUGGUGGUGGGUGUGGAGUUGGACUGUUGGACUAAGCUGCUAUGCUAUGAAUGGUAAAAAGGAACAGAAGGUGUUGUUGACAGUCCAGAGUUUGGGCCUAUAAAUAAGAUAUAGGAGCUUGGGAGGGGGUAGUUGAGAGUCACGUGGUUGAGCAGAGCCAAGUCCACCUGGCUAGUUGUUAAGACUGGGUGGCACGUGACUUUGGUGCAUCCAUCUAAUUCUAGCCUCCACUCUUCUACCUCUCCAUCCUAUCCUCCACAUUUCUGUUGGUUUUCACUACAAAUGUUUAUGGGCAGAGUUGAGUGCGAGUUGAGUACAUGUUAUUAAUAUAUAUAUUUUAUGUUAAUUCAAACUUGAUCUAAUUUAAAUUAUGAGUUUAAAAUUUUAUCCAAUCCAUUCAUAUUUGUAAAUGGUUAAUGGAACCCAUUUUAGGUUUACUUAUAUUAUUUUUAAAAAAAUUUAAAUAAAUAUUUAUAUUAAUUUUAAUUAAAUAUUUAAUUAUUUUAUAUAUAGUCACCUUAAUAAUUUAUAAUGUUUAUAUAAUACUACUAUAAAUUUAAUUUUUAUGUAUUAUAAAUUACAUAAUAUAUUAAAAUAACAUAACAUAAAAUAUUACUAACUUAGAAACGGGUCAAACUAAAUUGAAUUCAGACCUUAAAUAUUCAGGUCUAAGUCUUUUUCUAAGUUAAUUUUUUAAACCUAAUAUUUUAAACCCUCACACAGAUUUAAACCAACAUUCGAAUUUCAACAAAUAAACCUACUCAUUAACAAUUACAGAUUUCACUUACCGCUUCAUCAUUUAAAACCUCAUUUCUACCAUAUAUAAGGACUGCACCACGUUCCCUCACAUCUGUCCGUACAUUUCAACUAAUUCUUCUAACUAUUAAAUAUAUUUUUAUUAUAUAUUUUUAAUAUUUUAAUAUAAUUUAGAUGGUCAAACCAACUUAAAAAAUGGUCUAAAAUUGAGAUGGUUUGAAAAUAAAAUUAUGCUCCCUAGGUUUUAGGUAAAAUAAAAAUUAUUUAAAAUAUGAAUUAAGCUUGGAUUCAAAUAUUAUAUAUAUUUUGUUAAAAUAAAGAUAUUUUAUAUAAUAUAAUUAAAAGUACAUCUAAUAUGUAAUAUUUAUGAUUAUAUAAUGAAAUAAUAUUUGAUAUAUUGUCAGUGGAGUUUUUAGAUUCCAUAAGUAGGGUUAAGAGAUUGACAAGUGUCCUAUAGGGGUAUAGUAAAAUAUAUUUUAAAAAAUAAAUAUUUUAAAAAAAGAGACAUGACAAUUUUUUAAAACUACUAGUAGAAUAAAAAAAAUUACAUUGUUAGUGUACUAAAUACUAAACCCUUAUAUAAUAUGAAUGUUAUAAAUUAAUUUUAUUUUUUUGAAAGUAACAUAAUUAAUAUUAUAAUAUAUGAAAAUUCUUGUCAUAACCCGAAAACCGGGUUAGAAGAAAUUGAGUUAGUGAAACCAAGACUGGUCACGUCGUGAUUUUUAGUUAUGAUUGUGGAAGUGUUAUCAAGUAAAUUGAUUUGUUUUAGUGGAUAAGUGCUUUGGAUAUAUGUUUGAGGUCUUGUGUUCAAAUUGUUUUUUUAUUUAUUUAUUUUUCUAUUUUUGUUCUUAUUUCUAUCUCAGCAUAUCUUAUUUAUAUUUAAUUUUUGCUCAAUUGUUAAUAAGAAUGAGUUUGUUAGUUUUGUGGUAGUACUUCAACUUAUUUUUUGGUAUUGUAUUCAAAUCCUUGUGCGUGUGAAAUGAAAAUAUUUUUGCUCCUAUUUACUGUGCCGUUAUUUUGUCAAAAAAUUAGUUAAAUUUAUAUUUUAAGGAAAAAUAUGAUAAAUUAGAAUUUUGUUUUAUUAUAUUAUAUUUUAUCUUUAAAUUUUGAAAAAAAAUUGGUUUCCAAAAGUAUCUUUCACCUUCUCACGUUACUCUACCACACCCCCCACUUUUGCCUUUUGCCUUUUGUUUUUAUUUUAUUUUAUUUAUUAUUAUUUUAUUUCUCUUUCUAUUCUAUUCUCCCUAAUUCCCACGUUUUGCUCCUUGUUUCUAUUUCUAUUUCUUUUACAUUUUUCUUUUGUUGUUCCUUCUUUGUUUUGUUUUUGUUACAUAUAUUGUAACUAUCUAAAAGUCAGAAGUGUAGGGUAACGUACUUCAGGGAUCCCGUUUCUGUGAAUUGAGUUUAUAAUUAAUUUCAUUAAAUACUUUUUUAGAAUUUGCCUUAGGAGGGAAUUGUGUGAUAGUUAGAUAAUUCUAAGUAUUAAGUGUUUGAUUAAAGUAGGGGAAUUAAAUCCAAUAAGUGAUAAAAAUAAGAAUUUAAAUUAAAUUAUAAGGUGGAUCAAUAUCAAGGGACUUAUUAAGUAAAUAAGCCAUUAAUUAUAUUAGUGUAUGAUGGUGGACGGUUUUAAUCUAUUUUAUUAGUAUUUUACAUCUGUGUUAUGUUAGAAUAUUAGUUAAGUUAAAAAUUAAUAUGAAAGGUUAUAUUUUAUUAAUAAAAAUAGAUGAGAGAUAUAGUUAGUGGGGAGAAGAAAAUUAAGCAAUAGUUUUUUUUUUCUUCUUUUCGAAACCAUAAGGAAAGGGAAGAAGGGGUUGUUCGGCCAAGAAGCUAUAACGCAUGUUUAAAUUGGUAAGUGAAAUUUGGUUAUUUUUGCAUGAAAUUUAUGUUUUCUAUGUUUUAAUGUUAUGAGUUAGUUUUCAUGUUGAAAUUUUGAGAGUGAAUGAAAAUUAUGGAAGUUACAAUGGAUGAGAAAUUUAAAGGUUUGGUGUUAUUUUGUUGAAUUUUAAAAGUUCUUGAGGUGAUGAUUAAAGUAUAAGUCUUGUAGGCUAAUUUGGUCAAAUUGUGUGGUGAUUUUUGUUGAUAAUAAUUUCUAAGGACUUAAAAUUUGUAAAUUCAAAAUAACAUGGUUUAAGUUGUGAUUUUUAGUAGUUAAAUGAAUGCUGGAAAAUAGUUUAUAUUUUUUGAAUGCAAAGAUGUGAAAUUUGUUCAUAGGGGUUAAAUGUUUGAGUAUAAAUAUUCUUGGUGGUUGGAUUAUUAAAUUUAAAUUAUUGUCUUUAGAUAAAAAAUCAGAAUGGAUCAAUAGCUAAUCACAGAAAGGAAAAGGCUAUCGCGUGAUUGUUUUCGAUUUUAGUAUCUUCCGUAAUUCUAUAAGUUCAUAAUCUUGAAUUUAACCUUUUUAUCUGUUUAUUUAAUUAUUAAUAGAUGUUAUUUAAAUACUUGAUAUGCAAUAUUAUGUUUAUAUUUGAAUGAAGAUGAUAUUCAAUGAAUGAGGAAAUUGUGUAGUGAAAUAAUAACAAUUUAUUGGUUAAUCCAACUAGAGCUGGCCUCAUUAUUUAAUUUUUCGAUUCAUUCGACUAGCGCUCGGCGCAAAUCCCGUUGGUAUAUCCAACUAGAGCUGGGCUCAUUAUGUAUUUGCCAGUUUAUCUGACUAGCGCCAGGUGCAACAUCCGUCAAUUUAAUUGACUAGUGCUUGGCACACAUUUGUCGGUUCAUUCGACUAGCGCUGGGCACAAACUCUUUCGCGAUUAUUCCGCUAGGCACCGAGUGCCGUGUAUUAAUUGGACUAUACCACCAAGUUAUAUGAACCAUUGAAGAAGGUUGUUACAGGUAUUAUUAAGGAAGGAUUAUAUUUACUUAUGUGUUUAUGUAUUCAUUGGAAGAUAUGUUAUAUUUCUUGACUUAGAUUAUUAAUGUUAUAAAAAUAAGUUCAAAUGUUUUAGAUAUAUUUGAGGUUAUUCAAAUAAGUGAAAUCUAAUUAAUGUGAAUAGGUUCUCAUGUUUACAGGUUAGGUAUAUAGUGUACUUGGACUCAGACUCCUACAAGAAUCCUGUACUCGACGUCGGUGAUGUUCUUUUUUGUGUUUUUGGCAUGUACCUAGGGGGUAUCAAUUGGUUUGAAUCUUUGGUUUAUAGAUAGUUGUAUAGGAUGUUUGUAGUAGUGUUUCGUGAAUAUGUAAAUGGUAUUUUAGUAUGUUAGUAUCUUGAUGUUAAGAGUGCUUGUUUAGGUAAGACCUUUUGAUCACUUUUGUGAAUUGUAGUGCAUGGCAUUUUAAUGUAAGAUGUUGCCUUGGAAAUGGUCAAUUAUGAUGGUAUUAGGCACAUAAUAGAAUGAAGUCUUUAUUCAUGGAAAUAGGUAAUGUUCACAUGUUUUGGUAAAUGUGGUGUUGUUAUAAUUGUGGUGCCUAUUGCCUGUGUUCUUCGAACGUUAAUGUAGUACUUGUGUAGUCAACUCGAUGAAAGCAUACAUUUAACAAUCUUUAACUUGUUUCCUUUCUAACCCAAUGAACUAACCUACUUAAUGUUGAAAACCAUGAGUCAUUCAUAUAUCUUUCUAGAAUGGCAUGUUUAACUGAACUCUCCUAUUUAUGAUGUUCUGAAUUAAUUCCUUGUAUGAAGCAUGCUCAAGUACACUUCUAUUUUCCUUAUUUCUUUUUCCUUGCAUGUUUGUUUUGUUUCCUUGCGAACAACCAACAAGUAAUUAGGUUCUUUAUUGUAGUUAAUAAGCCUUUUUUUGAGUAAUUUGAUUACAUUACUAUUAAUUUCUAGUUUUAGCAUUUUUUGCUCGAUUUCAAUAGAAUAAGUGUCUUUACACAUUGUUAGGUGUUUUAAUGACCUGCUAGGCCAAUCAAGGCUUAGGGAGAAACCAAUGGGUUAAUUGAGUGUGCAAGACACCAUUUUAGGCCAUGGAAUUUGAAGAACGAUCCCAAUGUCGCGACAUUCAUUAGUGGUAAAUAUCGGUUAGGUGAUUUCAUUGAAUUAGAACUUAAAUUAAGAUACAGGGACUUAAUUGCUUAAGUGAAAAAAGUAUAAUAGUUAUUAAACUAUAAACUAAUUUAUAAUUAAAGGACUUGAAAAAACAAUUAUACCCUUAUUGUUUAAUUAAGUGGACGGUCAUAUCAUAUUUAUAUGUAUGUAAUAUAUAUUAUGUUUAUGUUAACUAUAAUAUAAAUAUUAUAUUAAACUACUAUAAAUAAAAUAAAAUAAAGAUGAAUAAUAGAUGGUGGAUAGGAAGAGAAGCUUAAAAAUUCAUUUUCAAUUUGUUUCAAUUUAGAAACAAGAAAAGCUUGGGAGGAGAAGAGAAACAAACAGCCUAGGGCUGAAAGUUUCAAGUUAAUUUGGUUCGUAUAUUUUGAUCCUUUUUACUUAAAUUUUAUAUAUUUGGAACCUUAAGAUCAUGAACUAGCUUACCCAUGUUGGAAUUUUUAGAAUUUAUGAUGAUUGUGGAAGUUUCCAUUGUAGAAAAUUUCAAGUUCUUGGUGUUAUUUUGAUGGAUUUUAAAGUUUAGGGACUUAUUUAUGAAAAUGGUAAAUUCUAGGAUUAUAUUUGAAUUGAUUAAAAGUAUGAAUUGUUUUGGACUUUGAGGAAAACCAGUUAACAUGGGAUUUGUUUGAUUGUAACUAAAUAGCAUGUUUUGGAAUUGAGGAUUAAAUUGUAUUGAAGGUUAAUGUCGAGUGUAAAUAUGUGAAAUAUGGUUAAAGGGUUAAUGGUUUUAGUAAAUGUUUCUUGGUGAGUAAAUAAAUUAAAUUAAUUAUGUGGUAAAUUUUAGAUCGAGAAACGAAAGGAUUAGUUGGUAAUCAUGGAAAGGAGAAUGUUUUCGAGUAAUCGUCAUCGACCUUAAUAGCCCUCACAAUAUGGUAAGUUCGUAGUCCUUGACUCGAACUCUUUAUUUAAUUUAAUUAAUUUAGUCAUAUUUGAUAUCAAAUUAUAUCCAUUAAUAUAAUUGGUUAAUUCUUUUAGAUGGAAUACUAUGGAAUAAGAUUUGAAUGUAUAUGAAUUAGAUCAAAAAUAUUUUCAUUAUUAUUGUUGUGGUUGAUUAAAUUAUAGAAUAUGGUUUUGAGGAUUUAAUUCUUGGUGAGCACAACUAUUGUCAGUUAUCCGACUAGCGUUGGACACAAUAAUUUGUUGACUCAUUCAACUAGUGUCGGGCACAACUAUCAUAGGUUAUUUAACCAGCGCUGGGCGCAAUAAUUUGUCGACUUGUUCGACUAGUGAUGGGCACAACUAUCAUCAGUUAUCUAACUAGCGCUGGACACAAUUUGUUGACUUGUUCGACUAGUCCUAGACACAAAAAUGAUCUUGUCGAGUUAAACAACGAGCGCUGGGUGCAAAACCUUAUGUACGAUCUAACCGUUAGACAUCGGAUGUCAUUUAGUGGAUUAUACAUUUCGGUAAGGUAUGAUAAUUCAUGAGAGGAUAUUUGUAUAUAAAUGAUGUUAUAAAUAUGUUUAAUAGGAAUUAUGGUUUCUUUAUAGAGAUGACUUAUAUAUUAUGAAAUGUAAACUUUUGUUUAAUAGUUGUAAAGGGGAUCCUUUGAGAACAUGGGUUACUUACUGUUGGUGAUGUAUUUUCUUUUCGAGUCUUGGCAUGUACUUAGGAGGUCAAUUUUGAAAUAAUGAUAUUUUGUUUUUAGUGAAUUCUAAUGAAUGUAGUCCUAUAAGUUAUGAAUGAUGUGCAACUUAGAACAUAGUUGUAUCUAAAUGCUUGAAGUUGUUCAUGUAAAUGCUUUCACUUGGUGAUUGUUCUAGUAAAUUGCUCACUUUGGUAUUAUAUUAAUGAUGUAUUUGAGUUAGUACUAGAAGAAAGUAUAUAUAUAAUUUUUCAUUUGGUUGAUGUUGAAUGUGAGUAAUUGGUUUGAGUGAUGGAUCUACUUAUCCAACUUAUUUAAAUAAUUAAACUUUGUUUGAGGUGCCUAUGAAUGGCAUAUUGGUUGGAUGAUGGAUGAAUAAAUUGUUGGUUUGUGUUGGAUGUUUAAAAUGUGGUGUCAAUGAGGGCACAUUGGUUAGACACUUAAGAUGGUUGUUUUAGAAUGUUUUGAGCAUGUUUAAAUGUGUUUCGAAUAAUUUUAAUGGUUGAUGAUUUGGUUGCUUAGUGUCCAAGAAAUCACAAAUUGGUAACCUUGAGUUUUAAGGUAAAUUUAGGUUCACAUGGCUUGGGACACGGGCUGCUACACAGUCGUGUGACCCAUAUGGUCUAUCCAUACAGUCAUGUGUCUUAUUAACUUUAGGAGCAAGUUUCACACGGCCAGCGACACGGCCAUGUGUCUUAAAAUAGUGAGUUACACUGAUGUAUUCACAGGUUGGGACACGGCCGUGUGUCUGGACUUCAAAUAUCCACACGAUCUAGGUUGUGACACACGGAUUGGCCACACACCCAUGUGUCUCAUGUUUCCAAAAUUUAAAAAUUUUUCCCAUCCUUUCCCAUUUUGUUUCGAAUUAACCUUAGAGUGUUUACAAUUUAUUUUUAGGGCCUUGUAAACUCGUUUUAAGGCCCGUAUGAGUAUGCUUAGUUAUUAUUGGUAUGUGAUUUGAUUUAUUAUCAUUAUGUUUGAAUAUUUUUGUUAAAAAGGAAAUGUUAAAAUUUUGAAUUAUUAUCGUAAUACUCUGUGACCCCAAUCCAGCAACGGAGACGGGUUAAGGGUGUUACAUUUAGUGGUAUCAGAACUACAUGUUUAGUUGAUUCUUGGACUAAAUCGAGCUCAAAAUUGAGUCUAGAGGUACAUGCCAAAGUUGAAUUGAAUUUGAGUUGGGAUUUGAUGCUGAUUAAUAUUAUUCUUAUUUUACAAGUUAAAAGAUGUCAGGUGAUACUAAUAACGUAGUUGACCAAGAAAUUCAUAUUGGUGAUGAAUUUAUUGGGGAUUUGAUGAAUUUGAAUCUGCAACACCGAGUGUUCAUGCUGAUGGUAUUCGACAACCAAAUACUAACAGAGGCCCAAAUAAAGGGCAAUGUGAAACUGAUAUAUUACGAGUCAUAGCAGAAGCUCUUCAGAAGGUAACAGGAGCUACUCCUCUGGCACUACCCACUCCUACAGUGAAACGAGCUCAUAUUAAGGAAUUGAGGAGAUAUGGUGCUACAGAAUUUGCUGGGUUAAAAUGAGUUGACCCGUCAACAGCUGAGUUAUGGUUGGAAUCAACGGCUAGGGUUCUUCAACAACUUGAAUGUAAUUCCUGAGAAAGUGUCAUUUGUGUUGUUUCGUUAUUGCAAGGUGAAGCCUAACUUGGUGGGAAAUUAUUACACGACACGUUCCUACAAAAGCUAUAGAUUAGAAAUUUUUUCAAGCAGAGUUUCAAAAGAAAUAUGUUGGGGAAUUAUAUCUCAAGGAUAGAAAACAAGAAUUUAUUUUGUUGAAGGAGAUUUAUCUGUGGUGGAUUAUGAACAAGAGUAUAUGCAACUCAGCAAGUAUGCUAUGGAACUCAUUCCUACUGAAAAAGCAAGUUGUAAGAGAUUUUUACGUGGAAUGCCAGGUGAAAUUAGAACUCAGUUAGUUGCAUUGACGAUUAAAGAGUUUGCGGAUUUAUCUAAGUGAGCAAAAAUGGUGGAAUAAUCUCUAGGAUUAAGCAAGAAAUUUGAACUUUCUUGGGUUACAGAAAACUAUUUUUGUACUCCCGAUUCAUGUUUUGUACAAAAGAAAAGUAAAGGGUCUUGGGAUUUUAGGAAGUCAGUUGCAAGAUCGACCACAUCAAAUAGAAUGCUAGACUGUCAACUGACAGUUUCUGUUGAUAGUGUAAAAGGGCCGAAUAAAAGUUCUAAAAUGUCGACCUGUGAGCAUUGUGGUAAGAAGCACUGGGGAAAAUGCUAGAUAUUGACAAAAGAUUGUUUCCGUUGUGGAUCAUUGGAGCAUUUCGCUAGAGAGUGUCCGAAGAACGAAAAUAAUACACCUAACGAUUCAUAGAAAGCUGCCUCCACAGUUAGGGGUCGAGGGACGAGUAAAGGUGGAUCAAUUUUGAAGGGUGGAUCAAGAAAAAGAAAUGAAAUAGUUGCUGAUCAGCCUGAGGCCAGCGCGCUAGCUUGUGCUUACGUGGUGCGAACACGUGAUGAGGGAGAUGCUACUGAUGUUGUAGCAGGUAUGUUUCCUGUUAUUCUCCAAUCCUGUCUAUACUUUAAUAGAUCCUAGUUCUUCUCAUCGUAUGUCAAUACUGAUGUGGUUAAGUUGUGGAAAAUGAAAUCUGAAAUGUCAAGAGUAGCUAUGUUUGUGUCAAGUCCAUUAGGCCAAACAAUGUUAGUCAAUCAAGUUUGUAAGCAAUGUCCAUUGAAAAUUCAAAAUUUGACCUUUCCAGUGGAUUUAUUAAUUAUGCCUUUUGGUGAUUUUAAUGUGAUUCUGGGUAUGGAUUGGUUAACCAAGCACGGGGUAGUUCUAGACUACUGGAAGAAAAACUUUUGGUUCAAGAUUCGAAUAGUGAGAUUAUAGAAGUUAAUUGUGUUAAAACGAGUGGUUCAAAUCAGGUUAACUCGUCGAUUCAAGCUAAUAAGUUGUUGAAAUAGGGUUGUGAAGCUUUUCUAGCUUAUGUUAUAAAUUUAAAAAAUGGGAAUAGUGAAAUUAGUAAUAUUCAAACUAUUUAUGAAUUCUCUGAUGUGUUCCCCGAGUAAUUGUUGGGAUUGCCACCUGAUCGAGAGGUUGAGUUUGCAAUUGAAGUGUUCCAGGUACAUCUCCAGUAUCGAUACCCCCUUAUCGUAUUGCACCAACUAAAAUGAAAGAAUUGAAAAUUCAACUACAAGACUUACUGGACCACAACUUUAUACGUUCCUUGGGGAGCUCCAGUUCUGUUCAUUAAAAAGAAAGAUGGCUCGAUGCGACUUUGUAUUGACUAUCAACAAUUGAAUAAGUUGACAAUUAAGAACCAAUACCCUUUUCCUUGUAUCGAUGACUUGUUCAAUCAACUGAAGGGGGCUUCAGUCUUUUCUAAGAUUUAUUUAAGAUCGGGUUACUAUUAGUUGAAAGUGAAAGAUAGUGACGUACUGAAAACUGCCUUCCGUACGUGUUAUGGCCACUGCAAAUUUUUAGUGAUGCCCUUCGGAUUAACGAAUGCUCCUGCGACAUUCAUGGAUCUCAUGAACCACAUUUUCCAACCUUACCUUGAUCAGUUUGUGGUAUUUUUUAUUGACGUUAUUUUGAUUUGUUCAAAAUCGGAAGUUCAGCAUGAACAACAUUUGCGUAUUGUUUUGCAAAUUUUGCGAGAAAAUCAAUUUUACAAGAAUUUCAGUAAAUGUGAAUUCUGGUUAACUGAAGUGGUAUUUUUUGGGCAUGUGAUAUCAGCUGAUAGAAUUUGAGUGGAUUUGAAAAUGAUUGAAGCAAUUAUUCAGUGGAAAACACCGAAAAAUGUGUUAGAAAUCCGUAGUUUCAUUGGCUUAGCUGGUUACUACCGAAGAUUCGUUAGUGGAUUUUCAAAAAUAGCUUUGCUAAUGAGAACGCUGUUGCAAAAAAAUGUACAAUUUGUUUGGAGCGAGCAAUGCCAAUAAAGCUUUGAGAAACUGAAACAGAUGUUGACUGAAGCACCAGUUUUAACUUUACCAGAAUCAGGAAAGGAUUUUAUGGUUUAUAGCGAUGCCUCGUUGAGUGGGUUAGGCUGUGUUUUGAUGCAAGAAGGUAAGGUAAUUGUGCAAGCGUCCCGAUAGUUAAAAUCUCAUGAAUGAAAUUAUCUGACACACGAUUUGGAGCUAGCUACUGUGGUUUUUGCUCUAAAAAUUUAGAGACACUACCUGUAUGGUGAAAAGUGUCAUAUUUUUACUAAUUAUAAAUGUCUUAAAUACCUCCUAACUCAAACGCAGUUAAAUUUAAUACAACUUCGUUGGGUCGAGCUUUUGAAAUAUUAUGACUGUGUUAUAGAUUACCACCUUGGAAACACGAAAAUAUACACACUUUUUUAUGCCCUUCUUAACUCAAAUUCACGCAGUUUAGGUAAAAUUCUUGUCGAAAAAUAUGUAAUUAUUAUAAAAUAAUUAUUUUGUACUUAAAUUAUUAAAAUGUUGAAUUUUAAUUAAUUUUAUAAUUAAUUUUUAUUAAUUUUGAUUAUUUUCAAUAGAUUUGCACAAAGGGCAAAAAACGGCCCGACAGACACUGCUAGAAGCACAAAACCGAGUAGCAAAUUUGAAGCAUCAAGGGGAAAUAAUUUUUCAGCAUAAGAUGAUCUAAAUUAUGUGUAUUAAUUCAUAAUAUAAUUAAUUUUAAUUUUAAUCCAAUUUAAUUUGGGUUAAAUAAAUUAUUAAUAAUUAAUUAUGAAAAGGGAUCCAAUUGAGUUGAACCGAGAAAACCCAACCAACUGAGCACUGCCGAAUAUCGUCCCACAUGCUGGCCCAAUCAGCUUGCAUGACUGAUUAUUUGGCUUGCAAAAUGGCCCUUAAAGACUUCUUCAAAUUGCAUUCAAACCCCUCCCCUAUUUGUGCCUUUCUAGAUUUGCCCCUACCUUAAUAUAGCAAGUUUGAAAACUUCAAACUUGCCAUAUGUGCGGUUGGCCAUAGGGGGACUCUAUGGCUGCUGAUUUUUGCUAAUUUUGUCAGCCAUCUUAACCUAUAGAUACCCCCAUUGGUUGCUCACUUCAAACACAUUUCAACUCUUCUCAUCUCAUCACUUCUCUCUCAUUUUUCUCUCUUUAUUUCCCUUCCAUUAUUCUUCAUUCCCUUGCUGAUUUCACCUAUUGAAAAAGAGUCAUUCAUCCACCAUUUGGAGCAGCAUUCAAGUGUUUGUAGAAGUCUCAGUUCGACAAGAACAAGCGAAGAAGGAGGAGUGGAGCAAACUAGUCAAGCCACAAAGAGAACACCAGAUUUGAUUCUUAUUCCCUACCCUUUUAAUUUUGUUGUUAUGAUGAACAUUGUAAUAGGCCCAAUUUGCCCGGCCCGAUAGUGAAAUAAAUCAAAUAAACAAAUGAAUAAAAUAAAUAAAAUUAAAAAUUAAAAGUCCAAUAAAAAUAGUCCAAUCCAAGUUAUUAACCCAUUAAGGCCUACUAAAAUUUAAACCCACUUUGCCUAGACCCUGGCCCAAUCACGAAGCAGCCCAACAAGAAAAAUCAAAAACGGAAAACCCCUAGGGUUUCCAAUUUUUUCAGCGCCGCAGCCAGCACGCUCCCCUCAGCCUCACGCACGCACCACUCAAGCGAGCCUCUAUACGCGCACGCCCGCGCACAUCCAUACGUGCCACGUCCUCGGCCCUGCACGCUGUACCUGCAAGAGAUGAACGAACGAGCAACAAAACAGACACCAACAGCACACAAAAGGAACAGAGAGAGAAAAUGAAAAGGACAAAACGGGGGUGAUUUGUUUUGAUUUUGUCAUUUUUAUUUUUUGUAAAUAGAGACUAUAAAAGACUAAGAAUAUGCUGUAACACUGACUUACGCAAUCAGAAUACAAAAACACCAAAAAGGUGAUUUCUGGUUUCCUUUUUCUUCUUUCGCAGUGUUUUUUUCUUCUUUCAUUUUUAUAUCUAUCAAUUAUUUUUGAAAAAGAUAACCAAAAGAGCAAGACGUACCUAGCCACCAGACCUUUUGCUCUUUCUUCGUCAUCAUCGGAGUUUGGGAGCAAGGUUCGAGGAGUCUCUAAAAGGGGGCGAUGAACCGUUGAGCGGUGCAUAAAAGGGGCCUAAGGUUUAACUUCCUUUUUCUUUUGUUUCUUUUUUAACAUUUGUUUUGAAAAUGAAAAGGGGGUUUUGCUGAUCAGGUUAAUGGGGUGCUUAUGUGCGUUGAAAGACGACGUCGUUCAGAAGCCUCCGACCCGCGUGGUGACUCGAUCCGGGGAGGAUCCGCGCGUCUUCUAGCAUUUGGGUAUAUUGCGCAAAAGGGCCCUUCUGCCCUUGCACGUUUCUAUAUCUGUCCUUUUUAUUUUUAAUUUUUUUUGCCCUGUGUUCUGAUAUGGCGUUAUUUCGGUCUGUGCAAAGACAUUGCGUUUUGGGGUACGAAAAAUAUUUCCCAUUUGGUCCCCAUGUUAUCCGCACGUCACGCUUUGACCCGCCAUGUUAUUCUAUUUUCGACAUUUUCCCUUCAAUUCUGUUUUAUUUCUAAUUUAAUCCCUAUUAAUUCAUCUUAAUAUUUUUUUCCAUAAAUUCGUUACUUAAUGUUAUAAAUCUUUUAAGUUUUAGAUAUCAUCUUAAUAUGAUUUAUACAUACCUUUUUGUUUGUUUUCGUUCAUGAACGCAUAUAUAUGUAAUAAAAUUUAAAAUUUUUAAUAAUAAUGCUUUUUAGUUUUAUAUAUAUAGGCAUAUAUAGUAUUUUUAGUAGUUUAUGUACGUAUGCAUAUAAUGAUGUAUUAUUAAUUUCAAAUGAUAUUUUCUUAUGCAUAAAAGCCUUAUUCCUUUUAAAUUUGUUAUUUUACUUGAUUUAUUUAACUUUUAUAUAUCAUUAUUAGGUAUAUACUAUUAAUUUUACUAAGUUUUAUUUAUAUAAAUUAGAAUGUAUAUAUUAACUUCAAGUUGUUCACUUUUAUUUUGCUACGUUAUUUAUUUAUUUCUUUAGUUUUUAAUCUUUUGUUAAAAUUCAUUCAAACCUUUUAUUUGUUUUCUUAGUUCUAUUACCAAAUUGAAUCAAACAUUCAUAUUACUUAUCGUUAUUAUUGUUUGUUUAAUUGAUUAUGAUUUUAUAGGUUGCUUAAUUUUUAAUAUGGAUGUUUGAAUGAUAUAAUUAGAGCUAAUGUUUGUAUUUGCCUAUUAUUUGUUAAAUUACCUCUAGUUUAAGCUUGGAUUGUUAUUUAUCUUUUACAUUAUAUGUAUCGUUGUUUAAUCAUGUUCUUUUUGUAAGUAUUGAUUUUUUUUAUUAAAGCUUCAUAAUCGUUUUAUUUCAUGAUCCUAAAAAAGGGGCUUGGCGUUCAUAAAUUCCCGAGAGAAUCGUGCCCUAACUUACUGGGCUUCGAUUCUUCUCGAUGAACUUGGAUAAUCAAGCGCCCAUUUUAUAAUAAAAAAAACCUUCAAUUAUUAAAAUAAAAUUCUCAAGAUUUCAAAAUGUUAGAUCCUAACUUACUGGAUAUGAGACUUUGUUAUCUCGAUUUUAAAAAAAAUAAAGGCAAUGUCGGUUGUUUAAGAAUUUCGAGAGAUCAAACCCUAACUUACUAGGUUCGAAUUUCUCAAUUGACUUAAAUAAUCGAAUCUCCUUUUUAAAUCACAUGAUUUUCUAAAAAAGGGAACAAAUCUAAUUUUAGAGAUUGAAUUGUUACACCCUAACUCACUGAGUGUGGCAACUUAUCUCUGCAAAACGAGUACAUCUUACUGCUCAACUUGGUUUAUUCAAAUUUGAAAUUAAAAAGGGUUGUAUUUUUUAAAAAUCUUUUCAAAGUUUCGACAUUAAGACAUCAAACAAUCAAUUCGGUACCAAUUUUGGGCGUCACGAGGGUGCUAACCCUUCCUCGUGAGUAAUCAACUCCCGAACCUGUUUUCUCAAAUCUCGCAGACCUAAAAUUUAUUUUAAUGGUGAACCAAUCUCACCUUAAUAAAACACCGGUGGCGGCUCCCACUUUUUUUUUAAAGGUCGAUCCCUGUUUUUCAAAUAAUAAAAUUGGUUUCGACAGCUUGGCGACUCCAUUGGGGAUGCCAAGAGAGUUAGGCUGUAAAAUUGAUUGUUUUGUCUUAUUGUCGAAAAUUAAAAUUGGGUUUUUAAAAUUUUACGAUCUUUUCUUUGCAUUUUUUUUGUAUGGUCAUUGUAAAUUGUGCUUUUAUACCUUGGCAUCAUAUUGCAUAAAGACUGUUUAGUCUUACCCUUUUUAAGUGGGAGUGAGAAGCUACUCCUUCGUGAGGUUUUCACCUUCGUGCAGGAUAGUGAAUCACUUUCGGGAGACAUCCGUACUUAUGUCUUCGUGAUAUUUUCAUCUCCGUGCAGCCAUAGGGAAAUGUAUUCCCUUGAACCGAACUCGGUUUGUAUGAGCCUAUAAUGGGUGAAGUUCGAGGAAUCCGUUGGUUUGGGUACCUUGACUAUUAGAACCAAACCGCAUAUAGAUAGCCUAGGAACCCAACCUAGGUAGAACUUCCCCAAACCCUAGGGAUUGCCCGUAUAAAUGCUUGUUUCUCUCGUAUUUGUUGCAAAUUUUGUUUAUAUAUUAUACUGAAUUAUGGUGUUUUUUUGCUAUGUUUGCAUGCCAUUUCAUAUUCAAAAGAGUGUCGAUUCAAGUUCGAUUGUUAAAUUAGGAAGUUUGUCAUGGAGAACGACUUUCUUGAUAAAGUGGAAGACAAUGCCAUUGUCCGUAUAUGGUCAAAGAAAGUACAAUUGGAAAAGGGAGACAGUCUAGCCAAGGAUUAUGUGUCAGAGCUGUGGGACUACACUCGUAUUAGUGUGACGCAAAAUAGCCUUCAGGAGCUAAAGGAAAUAUGGGAUAAGUGGAAUGACGAGACCAAGCAGUUGUUCUACUUUAAUUAUGGAGACUUGCCAUAUUUGCUUGACAUCAAGGUGGAUAAGCAAUUGUUUCGGGCCCUUGCUCAAUAUUGGAAUCCUGCAUAUAGUUGUUUCACUUUUGGCAAAGUAGAUCUGGUGCCUACGGUGGAGGAAUAUACGGCUUUACUGCAUUGUCCAAGGCUUCAGGUGGAUAAAGCAUAUUCUAAAGCCACGUAUGUCCUGGCAUUUUGGAAGAAACUGAUGAAUAUUACUGGCAUGAGCGAGCAGUGGAUCACAGCCAGGAUCAAGAAGAAAGGGGAGUGUAAAUGUAUUUCAUGGAGGAAUUUUCGAGACUUGAUCCUAGCAUAUCCUGAUGGGAAAAAGAAGGUCGAUGUGUUUGCUUUGAGUAUCUACGGGUUAGUGAUUUUCCCUAAAGUAUUAGGGCAUGUUGACGAAGCGGUUUCAGAUCUCUUUGAUCGAUUGGGUAAAGGGGUCACGCCUGUUCCUGCGAUUUUGGCUGAGACAUUUAGAUCUUUGAACGCGUGUAGGCGAGCUGGUGAAGGCAGAUUUAUAGGUUGUGCACAAUUUUUGAUAGCUUGGUUCCAUAGUCACUUUUAGAAGGUCGAAAAGGUUUCGUAUCGGGUUUUCUCUGGGUAUUACUCCCUGUUAAAAGAGAUAGUGCCUACGCCAAGAAGGGACGACAUAUCAGAAGAAAAUUGGAUAGCAAUUCUGCAAAAUCUUCAAGAGGAUGAUGUGGAAUGGAGAGCUCCUUUGUUGAUUCUUGAUGAAAUUCUCUACCGUUGUGGAAGCUUUGACUGGAUUCCGUUGCUAGGGAUUUGGGGAGCCGUUGGGUAUGCACCUUUGCUGGUCCUAAGGCAAUACAAUUCAAGAUAGUUUGUGUCGGUAAUGCAUGGUUUAGCUCAAUGUGAGUUCUCGUACCGAUGAGACAAUUACAAUAAAAAGGUGAAAGAAAUUUCUCAGGCUUGGAAUCAGGUUCAUAGGAUGAAAAGGCUAGCUGUGGGUUCGAUGACGACUCCAGAGUACAAUAAGUGGCAAAGUAAGAGAAUUAAUGACAACAUUUCGGAGUUACACUUGGAGGGUGUUCGACCAAUGGAAGAGUACCUACAAGUGGUCCCAUCAGAGUUGGAGAUUAUAAAACAAGAUUUUGAAAAGAGGAAUUUAGAACUCGAAAAGAAAAUAGAGCGGUUGGAAGAAGAGAAGAUGCAUUUGAGGCUAGACGUUGACGUCCAAAAGUUAGAAGCUGAAAAAUUAAAGAAAGGGAAAAAUAAAGUAGAGGAGGAUCUAGAUAGCUUAAAGACAGACUACAAAAAACUGCGAGUAUCAAUGAGAAUCGCGGGGCUGGGAAAGACUUCAGGGCAAUGGAGACGGGAGAUCCAGGAAGAAAGAAACAAGGCCGAUGGAUGGGAAAAGAAAUACCAAGAAACUCAGGUACAAAACAAGGCUUUGGAGAGGAAUCUAUUAGAAAGCCGGAGUGAGACAGAUGAAUUAAAGGCACAAAUAGUUAAACUUGAAAGGUCUCUUCAUCAUUACCGAAAUCGUAAUACCGCGGUGGAGCUAAGAGUGAGCUUGAACAAGAUUGAGGAAACAAAGAAAAGAGUAGAAGAAUUAGAGGCGACAUUACAAGACUAUGUGAUGCGGGUGGAGUUUUUCGAAGCGAAUGAAGAACAUCAGAAAGAGCAGGUCCAUUAUUAUCAGAGCCAAGUUAGAGACAGAGAUCACAUUAUGGGAGAAGCUGUGGCCCAGAUUCGGAAGGUACUCGAUUACUUGCAGACCCUGGCAGUACAAGAUGACACUUUGAGCAUAAAAUACGAGUUGGAAUCAGACCGGGAAGAGAGCUUGCUUCGCUAUUUAGAAAGAUUAAAGUUCUGAGCAUUAGGGAAAAACUGUAUAUGUAAUCUAUUUUAUGUAAAGAAUUUUGUUUUCUAAAUGAAGCUUUCUAAAUGAAAUUGAAUUAGAAUCGACGCCUUCUUGUAUUCAUGCAUUGCAUUACAUUGCAUCAUAUGCAUUAAAGUCCACCGAAAGACUCUAAUUGGUUAAAAUCAUUACAGUUAACCUGGAAACCCACAAAAGCUCACCAAUUAAGCAUCAAUACGGUACUCAUCGUAAAACUAAGGAAAUGGAUCAAAGAUUAGAGAAAUUGGAGCAAAUGCAAAAGGAUAUGCAAGAACGGUUACAAGCACAAAUGCAAGAGUGGCUAGAUAAAAUCCAAGAAGACAUGAUGGAAAAAUUGAUCAAGGCUCAAAAAGAUGCGAUGGCUGAAUUGACCCAUCUACUGAAGGGAAGAGUAGAUAAAGGAAAGGACCCUAUGGCUGAUCAUGGAGAGGGUAGUGAGGAUCCGUUAUAUCCUCCGGGUUUCACUCCACCAAAUGUACGAACCCAUGCUGAAAUAUACCCAAAAGGACCGUUUGUCAUAAUUAGGCAGCAAAAAUUGAAAACUGGUGUCACGAUCCCCACAAUUUUUCAGGGACGAUCGAGUUUAAGCCCGGGAGAAUACCCAAUCGAUCCUAUAAUUCCAGAUUUUGAUGAACCAACUGAAGAAGGAACGACGAAUGCAUAAUUGCCAAAACAAUGGGAAGAUAGGUAUAGGUGGUUGGAGGAAAAAUUCAAAGCCUUGGAAAGCGUUGAUAGUAAUUAGGGAAUCGACGCUAAAGAUCUAAGCUUAGUCCCAGAUUUAGUACUUCCUCCCAAAUUCAAGAUGCCUGAAUUUGAGAAAUAUAAUGGAACUAGCUGCCCCGAAGCCCACAUUAUCAUGUUCUGUAGAAGGAUGACUGGCUAUGUUAAUAACGAUCAAUUGUUAAUCCACUGUUUCCAAGACAAUUUGGUAGGGGUAGCGUCUAAAUGGUACAAUCAAUUGAGUCGUACCAAAAUUGGUUCAUGGAGGGACCUAGCACAGGCAUUUAUGAAACAGUACAGCCAUGUAACGGAUAUGACCCCCGAUAGAAUUACCUUACAAAAUAUGGAGAAGAAACUGGGGAGAGUUUCAGACAGUACGCACAAAGAUGGAGGGAAGUUGCCAUCCAAGUCCAGCCGCCGCUCCUGGAAAGAGAAACCACGAUGCUCUUUAUUAAUACCUUAAAAGCCCCGUUCAUCACGCACAUGCUAGGAAGUGCAAUAAGAAGCUUCUCAGAUAUAGUAAUGAAUGGCAAAAUGAUUGAGAAUGCCAUAAGAAACGGGAAAAUAGAAGCAUGAGAGAGUAACAAAAGGUCAGCCUCGAGAAGAAACGAAAAUGAAGUAAACAACGUGAAUACGUACAACAAGUCAAUUACAGUGAACCAGCCGAGGAAGGUGGUUGCUAGUCAGUAGGGUUCAGCAAGACAAGAGUCUGGUAUAAGACAAGGUACUGAGAAGCCUCAGUUCACACCAAUUUCGAUGUCAUACAAGGAGCUGUAUCAGAAUUUGUUCAACGCACACGUUGUUUCUCCCCAUUACUUAACCCCUUUACAAACCCCGUAUCCCAAAUGGUAUGAUGUGAGCGCACAAUGUGAUUACCAUGCGGGAAUUAUAGGGCACUCAAUAUAAAAUUGUACUGCCUUCAAGAAGCUAGUUGAAAGACUUAUUAGCAUGGGUGUUGUCAAGUUUGAUGACUCACCUAGCACAGAAAAGCCGCUACCCAAUCAUACCGAUAAGGGAGUGAAUAUGACGAGCGAAAGUAGGGGAGAAGAAGUCAAGAACGACAUUGCAGAAGUAAAAACACUGUUGAAAUGGGUUUGGAGAGAGAUGACGAAGAGAGGGCUAGUUAUUUCAGAUUUUGAAGAAAGGUAUGAGGCUGAAAACUAUUGUGAAUUCCACCGUGAAGUAGGACAUGAGAUUCAAGAAUGUGAGGGAUUCAAGGCUCUGUUCCAAAACAUGAUGGAUAACAAAGAGAUAAGGUUUUAUGAAGAAGUGGAGCGUAAGAAAAAUAUUUGUGCAUCAGAGUUGGCAACAAAGACUCCAGAAACGAAUCAUCCUGUGGUCAUCAUUUCGUGCUCUUGGAGCAAUGAGUCUAGGGUUCAGAUAAAACCAAAAAUUGUAAUCCAGAAACCAUCAAAUUUCUCAUAUAAGGAUAGCAAAAGGGUGCCGUGGAAUUAUGGGUGCAAUGUGACAAUCUCGGGAAAAGAAUCAGAGAGAAAUCAAGAAAUGGGUCCUUACACGCGCAAUGGGAAGCGAUAUGAAGCUCAUGUAGAAUCGUCUAGAGAAGAGAAUUGGAAGAAAGAGCAGAGGAAAGGGAAGGCAGUGGAAGUUGAGCCAUUAUUUAAUGAACCAAUAAAAGAAGAGGAGGCAAAGGAGUUUUUGAAGUUUUUGAAACACAGCGAAUACAACGUUGUGGAACAACUACGCAAACAGCCAGCCCACAUUUCUAUAUUAGCUUUGCUCUUAAGUUCAAAAGUACAUCGAAAGGCACUAUUGAAAGUACUAAAUGAAACAUAUGUUGUUGAUGAUAUUUCAGUAAACAAGCUGGAUCGGUUGGUCAACAAUAUAAGUGCUGACAAUUUUAUCUUCUUCAGUGAUGACGAAAUACCAUCUGGAAGAAGGGGUUCUACUAAAGCCCUGCACGUUACUGCCCGAUGUAAAGGGCACACACUGCCGGAGGUCUUGGUUGAUAAUGGAUCUGUACUGAACGUAUUGCCUUUAUCUACUCUUAGUCGGUUACCGGUGGACAAUUCACACAUAAAAGCGUGCCAAAGCAUAGUAAGGGCGUUUGAUGGAACGAAAAAGAGGGUUAUGGGGAGAAUUGAGAUACCGCUAAGGAUUGGCCCAACUACUUAUGAGGUGGACUUCUUGGUAAUGAAUAUUAAGCCUUCCUACAACUGUUUAUUGGGAAGACCAUGGAUAUACUCAGCCGGGGUAGUACCUUCAUUGCUACAUCAGAAGGUGAAGUUAGUAUCAGAAGGUCGGUUGAUAACAAUAAAUGCGGAAGAAGAUAUCAUCGCAACAGUAACUGGUGAUACACCUUAUGUGGAAAUUAACGAUGAGGCAGUGGAAUGUUCUUUUAAGUCAUUAGAAUUUGUCAACGCAGUGUUUAUUGCUGAAGGAAAUAGAAUUUCGGUACCGAAAAUAUCCAAGACCACAGAGAUGGGGAUGCGAUUGAUGAUUGGAAGAGGAGCUUCACCUGGGAAAGGAUUGGGAAAAUAUCUUCAAGGAAAGAUUGAUGUACUAAUGCUGAAGGAAAAUUUUGAUAGUUUUGGCUUAGGAUACAAGCCAGACAUGAAGCAGAAGAAGAAAGAAGUAGAUAAAAGACAAGAAAGAAGAAGGGCACGUUUGAGUGGAUAUGAAGUUAAAUGGGAGCCUUUGACCUUUCCCCACAUAUCUACAUCUUUUUGUGUCACGUGGAUUUAUUCACCCUGAGCGAGGAAUGUCCAGAAGUGAAGGCAUUGAAGAAAUGUUGGAAAAUGUUAAUAUCAACGCUAUAGAAACAACGGAGAAAAAGACCCGGUUGGAGAUCUGCCCUUAUGAACCUGGGAGCGAGCUAAACAAUUGGACUGCGGAAGAAAUCCCUGUAGUCUUUAGGGCUUAUUCAGAGUAAUGCUCAGAACAUUCUUGUUGUUUUAGCCUGGAAAUGAUAGGAAAUCCUUUGUGAGAAAGGCUUGAGCCUGAAUAUCAUUAUUCUAAUGAAAUACAUAUUUACAUUCAUUGCGAGCAAUUAUUCCUUUUCUUUUCAUGAAGUAAAUAUUUUCUAUUUGAUUGAUUGUCUUCCAAAUAAUUCUUUCAUUUGUAACCUUAUUGUACAAAUAAUUAUUCAUAGAUUUAUAUAUUCUUGGUAUAUUCUUUGAUAUUCCCUCAUAGGUCCUCAGAUAUUAAAGACAUGAGUGACGCUGCUUCAAACACGGAGCCCCUUUUUGAGCAAGACAUGUGUUUAGAGGGAUCUUAAGACUUUAAAAAUGACGAAGACUGGGGUAUAUCUCCGGACUUGUCGAGAAUGGUAGAACAAGAGGAUAAGCAGAUCCUACCUUAUAAGGAAUCAUUGGAAAUCGUGAGCCUAGAGGAAGGAAAUGAGGUAAAAAUUGGAACUGAAAUCACCGCAAAGACAAAACAAGACCUUAUUGAAUUGCUCCGAGAGUUCAAAUAUGUUUUUAUGUGGUCAUACCAAGAUAUGCCCGGGCUGAGUACUAGCAUUGCGGUACAUUGUCUGCCCAUAAAAGAAAAUUGUAAACCAGUUCAGCAGAAGCUCAGGAGGAUGAGACCUGAUGUUGUGCUAAAAGUAAAAGAAGAAGUCAAGAAACAGUUCAAUGCUGGAUUCUUACAAGAGAUCAAAUAUUCAGAUUGGGUAGCAAACAUCGUCCCCGUUCCCAUGAAAGAUGGAAAGGUACGAAUGUGCGUGGAUUACAGGGAAUUGAAUAAGGCUAGUCCAAAGGACAAUUUUCCGUUGCCUCACAUUGAUACUUUGGUAGACAACACAGCGGGCUACUCACUAUUCUAUUUUAUGGAUGGCUUUUCUGGAUACAAUCAAAUAAAGAUGCACCCCGAAGAUAUGGGGAAAACAACAUUCAUUACCUUAUGGGGAACAUUUUGUUACAAAGUAAUGCCCUUCGGAUUGAAGAAUACGGGAGCAACGUAUCAAAGAGCUAUGGUGACUUUGUUUCAUGACAUGAUACAUAAGGAGGUCGAAGUCUAUGUUGAUGAUAUGAUUGCAAAGUCUAGAACUGAAGAAGAGCAUGUUCAAGUCUUAAAAAGAUUAUUUUUGAAAUUAAGGAAAUUUCAGCUCAAGCUUAACCCAGCAAAAUGCACGUUCGGAGCCCGAUCAGGGAAGUUAUUGGGCUUCAUAGUUAACAGAAAGGGGAUUGAGGUUGACCCAGACAAAGUGAAGGUAAUCCGAGACCUGCCUCAUCUGCGCACUCAGAAAGAAGUCCGAAGUUUUCUAGGAAGAUUGAAUUACAUUGCUCGAUUCAUCUCACAAUUGACCGAGAAAUGUGAUCCAGUAUUUCGUCUUUUGAAGAAGCAUAAUCCGGGUGAUUGGGAUGAGGAAUGUUAGGAGGCUUUUGACAAGAUAAAGCAAUAUUUGGCUAAUACUCCCUUACUAUCACCGCCAAGUCUGGAUAGGCCAUGGGAUGUGUAUUGGGCCAACACGAUGAAACGGGAAAGAAAGAAAGGGCAAUAUACUAUCUCAGCAAGAAAUUCACUAGCUGUGAAAUGAGAUACUCAUCAAUCGAGAAAUUGUGUUGUGCUUUAAUCUGGGCAACACGAAGACUAAGGCAGUAUAUGUUGUAUCAUACGACUUGACUGAUUUCAAAGUUGGAUUCUUUAAAAUAUAUGAUGGAAUCAACUGCUUUAAAUGGGAGAAUGGCUAGAUGGCAGAUCCUGCUCUCUGAAUUUGACAUAGUAUAUGUAAGUCAGAAGGCAAUAAAGAGGAGUGCAAUAGCUGAUUUUCUGGCUAGUAGAGCCUUGGAGGACUAUGAGCCUUUAAACUUCGAUUUUCCAAAUGAGGACUUGAUGUAUGUGACAAACAUUGAAGAAAAUCCUCAAAGGGAUCACGUGUGGAGGUUAAAUUUCGACGGAGCUUCGAAUGCUAUGGGUAAUGGAAUUGGGGCAGUCUUGGUAUCCCCGAGUGGAGAUCAUUACCCUGUGGCUAGCAAGUUGGACUUUGAUUGCAUGAAUAAUAUGACAGAAUAUGAAGCAUGUAUUAUGGGCAUUCGUGCAGCCAUUGAACGAAACAUCAAAAUGCUAAGAGUGUAUGGGGAUUCUGCAUUGGUAAUAUACCAACUCAAAGGGGAAUGGGAAACUAGAGACCCUAAGUUAAUCAGUUAUAGAAAGCUAGUCCUCGAAUUGGUUGAUGAGUUUGACAAUAUCACCUUCUGUUAUCUCCCGCGGAAGGAAAACCAAAUAGCUGAUGCAUUGGCUACUCUGGCUUCGGUGAACAAAUUUGAGAAUGAGGCCUAUUCAGAUGAGUAUCUAUGAAACCCCAGCUCAUUGCUACAGUAUUGAGGAGGAAGGAAAUGAUGAUCAUCCUUGGCAUCAGAGUAUCCUACAGUAUGUGAAGAAUAGGGAGUACCCUAGUCAAGCAACAGAGAACGACAAGAGAACCCUGAGAAGAAUAGCCAUUGAAUAUGUCUUAGAUGGGGAAGUGCUAUACAAAAAAAGGAAAGAUCAAGUACUGUUAAGAUGUGUGGAUGCCGUGGAAGCCAAGAAAAUUUUGGAGGAAGUCCAUGAGGGUAUUUGUGGGACGCACGCCAAUGGUUUCACCAUGGCCAGACAGAUCAUGAGAUUUGGAUACUAUUGGUCCACUAUGGAAGGGGAUUGCAUUAAUUAUGCCAGGAAAUGCCAUAAAUGUCAGAUUUAUGGAGACAAGAUGCAUGCACCCCCUUCACCACUUCACGUCUUGACCUCUCCAUGGCCAUUUUCCAUGUGGGGUAUGGAUGUCAUUGGGCCGAUAUCACUAAAUGCUUCUAAUGGGUAUCGUUUCAUCUUCGUGGUCAUUGAUUACUUUACCAAAUGGGUAGAAGCUGCUUCAUACGCAAAUGUCACGAAGUUGGCAGUCAGCAAGUUCUUGAAAAAAGAGAUCAUUUGUCGAUAUGGAAUGCCUGAGAGAAUCAUAUCCGACAAUGCAUUGAAUUUGAACAAUAGCAUAAUAGCGGAGGUUUGCAGCCAAUUUAAAAUCAAACAUUAUAACUCGUCGUCGUAUCGUCCAAAAAUGAAUGGUGCAGUGGAGGCAGCCAAAAUGACGGAAACUUACAAGGAUUGGCAUGAGAAAUUAUCAUUUGCUCUCCUUGCUUAUCGAACAACCAUUAGAACUUCUACCGGGGCAACAUCUUUUUCUCUAGUUUAUGGAAUGGAGGCAGUAUUACCCAUUGAAGUUGAGAUCCCUUCUCUACGGGUGUUAUCUAAACUAUAGUUGGACGAAGCUGAAUGGGUCCAAUCUCGGUAUGAUCAGUUGAACCUAAUAGAGGAAAAGAGGUUAAGAGCCAUUCGUCAUGGGCAAAUGUACUAGAAACGAAUGAUGCGAGCCUAUAAUAAAAAGGUUCGCCCUAGAGAAUUUCGCGAAGGAGGCUUGGUGCUAAAAAAAGAUUCUUCCUAUACAAAAAGACUAUAGAGAAAAAUGGAUGCCAAAUUGGGAAGGUCCUUACGUUGUAAAGAAGGCCUUUUCCGGUAGAGCUUUGAUCCUAAGUGAGAUGGAUGGUAAAAGCUUGCCAAACCCCGUAAACGCAGAUUCUGUCAAGAAAUACUUCACUUGAAAGAAGGGGGACCAAAGUGAAAACCCGCAAAGGGCUCUUUGCUUCCUAAAAAAAAAGGGAUUUGGAGAGGCCAAGGUGAAACCCCGCAAAGGACGUCUUGGGACCAAAGGGGAUUUGAGUUGAAAACCCGAAAAGGGCGGCUCAAAUAUUGAUCAGAGUGGGGCAUGAGGAGAUUGGGACUGUUCAAAUUUUGAUUCGGGCACACGAUGGUCUUGCUAUACCUGAACCAACAAGAAAAGGUAUACGACAUCUUGGAGCAUGGACAGAGUACUGCAGAUCUCCUAACCACAUUUCAAAAUCAGAAUAGUCUUCAGAAGUUUGUACAGAGAAAUUCAAGCUGCAAUCACUGGGGCACCUAGUUUUUAUUGUAUUGAAUAUGUUAUUCUUGAAAAUACCUUUUUUUCUUUUUGAUAAUAUACACAUUCUCAAUCAACUUCUUUGUUAUUCUUCUGUUGCUAUUGUCAAUAUUUUGUCUCUUUUGAGCUAUACUCAAAACCAACUUUUAUUCAUAGUUAUAAUCUUUCAGCAAACAUGUUGCAUUGGAAUAAUGAUUAAUGAACUACUAGAACUUUCACAAAGGAAGUUUUGCAUAUUACUCUGAAAAAGUUUCUAAAUAAUACAGUAACCUGGAACAGGACUAUUGUUUAGAACAAACUAGGAUUAAAGGUCAGAAAUCUAAGAAAAGUCUAAUUUUUAAACAAUCCCUUUUGGAUUUUGUUGACAGAAGCAUCAAUUGAACGAAAUGUCAGCAAUAAUCAUGAGUUAGAAAGAUAAGAUCUUUUUCGAGGAAAAUUCUUCGUGCACAAGUAUUUGAUGUGGCAUCUUGUGAAUGGAGUGUAAACCAAAGAUUUACACGUUCGGUAUCCUUCAAUUUUGAUUGAAAAGAAUGAAAAAGGAUUGGAUCUCCUUAUUUUUUUGAAUUGCAUAUUGAACACAACUCAGUGAAUCGAGCUUGGAGAUUUACAUCGGGGGAAUUUUAAUUAAGCGUUUUAUUGAAAGCACCAGCCAGGAAGGAGGGUGUUAAAGCACGAUUGUGACAAAAGCCUUAAUAGAUUUUGAGUAAUACAGCAGCAUCUUGCAUUCAUGAAAAUACCAUUCACUCAUGUCUAGUUAGGAGCAUUGGAUUCAUUCUGAUCAUGUCAUCCUAAUCAUUAGGCAUAAUUAGGUUCAUUACACAUGUCAUGUUCCCUAGAGAACAGAUCAGUAAAGAUAGCAGAUCUUAUCUCCCUAAGCAGUAGUGGAGCAGAUCAAAGACAGCAAAUAUUAUCUUUCCAAGAUAGUGGGAAGCAGAUUUAAGCCACCAGGCCUUGUCUCCCUGAGCAGCAGCGGAGUAGGUUGAAGACACUAGAUCUUAUCUCCCUAAGCAUUAGUGGAACAGAUCAAAGAUGGAAAAUCUUAUCUUUCCAAGAUAGUGGGAAGAAGAUUUAAGCCACCAGGCCUUAUCUCCCUAAGCAGUAGUGGAGCAGAUCAAAGACGGCAAAUCUUAUCUUUCCAAGAUAGUGGGAAGCAUAUUUAAGCCACCAGGCCUUGUCUCCCUGAGCAGCGGGGUAGGUUGAAGAUAGUAGAUCUUAUCUCCCUAAGCAGUAGUGGAGCAGAUCAAAGACGGAAAACCUUAUCUUUCCAAGAUAGUGGGAAGCAGAUUUAAGCCACCGAACCUUGUCUCCUUGAACAGCAGCGGAGUAGGUUGAAGAUAGCAGAUCUUAUCUCCUUAAGCAGUAGUGGAGCAGAUGAAAGACGGAAAAUCUUAUCUUUCCAGGAUAGUGGGAAGCAGAUCUAAGCCACUGAGCCUUGUUUCCCUGAGCAGCAGUGGAGUAGGUUGAAAAUUACAGGUCUUAUCUCUCUGAAGUUGCAGUAGAGUAGAUCGCAUCAGACUUAUCUUUAAAGUUGUAGCAGAACAAGUUAAAGUUACAAGUCCUAUCUCCCUGAUGUUGUAGUGGAGUGGAUCGAAGCACCAAUUCCUACACCUCUGAAGAGGUAGUAGGGCUACCAAGGUCCGACACGACCGGGAAAAAUUGGUCCUUUUUAGUCUUUGCUUCAUCCCUGUCACAUGACAAUGAGCAAAGAGGGGCAGCUAUAAUAGGCCCAAUCUGCCCGGCCCGUUAGUGAAAUAAAUCAAAUAAACAAAUGAAUAAAAUAAAUAAAAUUAAAAAUUAAAAGUCCAAUAAAAAUAGUCCAAUACAAGUUAUUAACCCAUUAAGGCCUACUAAAAUUUAAACCCACUUUGCUUAGACCUUGGCCCAAUCACGAAGCAGCCCAACAAGAAAAAUCAGAAACGGAAAACCCUUAGGGUUUCCAGUUUUUUCAGCACCGCAGCCAGCACGCUCCCCUCAGCCUCACGCACGGACCACUCACGCGAGCCUCUGUACGCACGCGCCCGUGCACAUCUGUAUGUGCCACGUCCUCGGCCCUGCAUGCUGUACCUGCAAGAGAUGAACGAAUGAGCAGCAAAACAGACACCAACAGCACACAAAAGGAACAGAGAAAGAAAAUGAAAAGGCCAAAACGGGGGUGAUUUGUUUUUAUUUUGUCAUUUUUAUUUUUUGUAAAUAGAGACUAUAAAAGACUAAGAAUAUGCUGUAACACUGACUUACGCAAUCAGAAUACAAAAACACCAAAAAGGUGAUUUCUGGUUUCCUUUUUCUUCUUUCUCAGUUUUUUUUUUUCUUUUUUCAUUUUUACAUCUAUCAAUUGUUUUUGAAAAAGAUAACCAAAAGAGCAAGACGUACCUUGCCACUAGACCUUUUGCUCUUUCUCCGUCGUCAUCGGAGUUUGGGAGCAAGGUUCGAGGAGUCUCUGAAAGGGGGCGAUGAACCGUCGAGCGGCGCAUAAAAGGGGCCUAGGGUUUAACUUCCUUUUUCUUUUGUUUCUUUUUUAACAUUUGUUUUGAAAAUGAAAAGGAGGGUUGCUGAUCAGGUUAAUGGGGUGCUUAUGUACGUUGAAAAACAACGCCGUUCAGAAGCCUCUGACCCGCCCGGUGACCCGAUUCGGGGAGGAUCCACGUGUCUUCUAGCAUUUGGGUAUAUUGCGCAAAAGGGCCCUUCUGCCCUUGCACGUUUCUAUAUCGGUCCUUUUUAGUUUUAAUUUUUUUCCCUGUGUUCUGAUAAGGCAUCAUUUCGGUCCGUGCAAAGACGUUGCAUUUUGGGGUACGAGAAAUAUUUCCCAUUUGGUCCCCAUGUUAUCCGCAAGUCACGCUUUGACCCGCCAUGUUAUUCUAUUUUUGACAUUUUCCCUUCAAUUCUGUUUUAUUUCUAAUUUAAUCCCUAUUAAUUCAUCUUAAUAUUUUUUUCCCAUAAAUUCAUUACUUAAUGUUAUAAAUCUUUUAUGUUUUAGAUAUCAUCAUAAUAUGAUUUAUACAUACCUUUUUGUUUGUUUUCGUUCAUGAACGCAUAUAUAUGUAAUAAACUUUAAAAUUUUUAAUAAUAAUGCUUUAUAGUUUUAUAUAUAUAUAGGCAUAUAUAGUAUUUUUAGUAGUUUAUAUACGUAUGCAUAUAAUGAUGUAUUAUUAAUUUCAAAUGAUAUUUUCUUAUGCAUAAAAGCCUUAUUCCUUUUAAAUUUGUUAUUUUACUUGAUUUAUUUAACUUUUAUAUAUCAUUAUUAGGUAUAUACUAUUAAUUUUACUAAGUUUUAUUUAUAUAAAUUAGAAUGUAUAUAUUAACUUCAAGUUGUUCACUUUUAUUUUGCUACGUUAUUUAUUUAUUUCUUUAGUUUUUAAUCUUUCGUUAAAAUUCAUUCAAACCUUUUAUUUGUUGUCUUAGUUCUAUUACCAAAUUGAGUCAAACAUUCAUAUUACUUAUCGUUAUUAUUGUAUGUUUAAUUGAUUAUGAUUUUAUAGGUUGCUUAAUUUUUAAUAUGGAUGUUUGAAUGAUAUAAUUAGAGCCAAUGUUUGUAUUUGCCUAUUAUUUGUUAAAUUACCUCUAGUUUAAGUUUGGAUUGUUAUUUUUCUUUUACAUUAUAUGUAUCGUUGUUUAAUCAUGUUCUUUUUGUAAGAAUUGAUUUUUUUUAUUAAAGCUUCAUAAUCGUUUUAUUUCAUGAUCCUAAAAAAGGGGCUUGGCGUUCAUAGAUUCCCGAGAGAAUCGUGCCCUAACUUACUAGGCUUCGAUUCUUCUCGAUGAACUUAGAUAAUCAAGCGCCCAUUUUAUAAUAAAAAAACCUGCAAUUAUUAAAAUAAAAUUCUUAAGUUUUCAAAAUGUUAGAUCCUAACUUACUGGAUAUGACAUUUUGUUAUCUCAAUUUUAAAAAAAAUAAAGGCAAUGUCGGUUGUUUAAGAAUUUUGAGAGAUCAAACCCUAACUUACUAGGUUCGAAUUUCUCAAUUGACUUAAAAAAUCGAAUCUCCUUUUUAAAUCACAUGAUUUUCUAAAAAAGGGAACAAAUCUAAUUUCAGAGAUUGAAUUGUUACACCCUAACUCACUGAGUGUGGCAACUUAUCUCUGCAAAACGAGUACAUCUUACUGCUCAACUUGGUUUAUUCAAAUUUGAAAUUAAAAAGGGUUGUAUUUUUUAAAAAUCUUUUCAAAGUUUCGACAUUAAGACAUCAAACAAUCAAUUCGGUACCAAUUUUGGGCGUCACGAGGGUGCUAACCCUUCCUCGUGAGUAAUCGACUCCCGAACCUAUUUUCUCAAAUCUCGCAGACCUAAAAUUUAUUUUAAUGGUGAACCGAUCACACCUUAAUAAAACACCAGUGGCAGCUCCCACUUUAUUUUUAAAGGUCGAUCCCUAUUUUUCAAAUAAUAAAAUUGGUUUCGACAAACAGUCUAUGAAUAUUUAUGAUGUCUAAAUGUUUAAUUUAAUUAAUAUAGCUUAAAUUUAAUUCGUAUUAGGUUGAUUGCAUUUCGUUUACUUGAGUUAUUAAAAUUAUGUUUGUAUUGUUAUAGGCAUCGAUAAGAUGUUUGAUUAAGUAAAAUCAUGACUAAGUUAUUCUUGCAUUACAAUUGUAAGGUAACCCAUGAAUUAAUUAUUUAAUCGGAUUGAAAUUGUAAUUAUUUAACACGAUACUUAAUCAGUGCAUGUUUAAUCAUCUAAGCUAGCUGAGGGUUAAAUUAGCAACGGUAUCUAACUAUACAUUAGCCUUUCAUAACUUGCAAGAUUAUUGUGAUUAAACUGUUUCAAGGUAGAAAUACAUUAUUACCUCAUGUAAUCUUUUAUGUGCUUAUGAGAUUGAAUUAAUUGUUUGAAUUGGCAUAGAGAUAUGUACAAGAGAUUAUUUUAAUUUCAUAAGUAUGUAGGUGCAUUAACACAUUUGCUUAUUAAAAUAUGUUUAAUCGGUUGAAUUGACAUAGAGAUAUAGUCAAGAGAUAAAUAGAUUUUGGUAGGUAAGUAUGUUCAUAAGUUAGCAAAUUACCGAGUUGCCGUGAAUUUAUCCGUAACAACAUGAACAUGAGUUUAAUAAUUCUAAGCUAAGAAAUGUAAUUAAUCUAACACAAUUAUGUCAUAUUGAUUAAAAUGAUCUUUUGAAAUCGUGCAUUGAAACUUUUAUUUUAUUUUUAUUUCUUUUACUUAGUUAAAAAUCUUAGUUUUCAAUCAUCUCCUCAAAUUAAAAUAUUUUUCUUCACCAAAGUGUUUUAAAUUGCAUUCAUAAAUAAUUCUUUUCACAGUCCCUGUGGGUACGGUAACUCAACAUUUACUUGUCACUUUAUUACUUAUUGUGAUUGUGUACACUUGCACAUUUCCGUCGUUCCAAGUUUUUGGCACUGUUGCUGGGGACUAUUUUAAAAGACAUUAUUUGUGAAAUUGUUAAUUUUGCAUUUUGGUCUUUUUUUCUGUUAAAUUUUAAUUCCAUUUUUUGUGUUUAUUUGUUUCGGGUGUUUAUGAGUAUUGAUCAAAUUAUUGACUUACUCCUCGUAGAGCCUAAAAUUGAAAGGACUUUCUGACAAAGGAGAAGACAAGCAAACCAAAGAAGGAUCGAAGAUAUGAAUUUCAAAAAUCCAAACCAAAAUCCAGGAGGAACAUUCGCUUAUAAACUCACAAUCCGAUCAUUGAUGCUGAUGAUAGAAACUGUGCCAUUCGAAAAUAUGUCAUUCUUCUAUUCAACAAGCUUAAUCUGAGUAUUAGAAUACCCGAAAUAGAGACACAACAAUUCAAGCUGAAGCCAGUCAUGUUCUAAAUGUUGCAAAAUAUGGGUCAAUUUAGUGGGAUUCCUACUGAAGAUCCAGAUCUUCAUCUUCGGCUAUUCAUGGAAGUGAGUGACUCAUUUAAACUAGUCGGGGUGACUGAGGAUGCCUUAAGACUGAGAUUAUUUCCAUACUCCUUAAGAGAUAGAGCACGAGCGUGGUUGGACUCCCUACCGUCUAGUUCCAUAACUACAUGGCAAGAGUAGGUUGAACAUUUCUUAAUGAAAUAUUUCCCUCCAUCUUUAACUGCCAAGAUCCGAAAUGAAAUCACUUCAUUUCAGUAACUUGAUGAACAAUCUUUAGGCAUAGGAGCGGCUCAAGGAGUUAUUAAAAAAGUGCCCUUAUCACGGCAUUCCUUACUGCGUUCAAAUGGAGACUUUCUAUAUUGGUCUCAAUAUUCAUACUAGAAUGAUGGUGGAUGCUUCGGCAAAUAGAGCCCUUCCUUCUAAGUCUUUUAACGAUGCUUACGAGAUUAUUGAAAGAAUUGCCAACAAUAACUAUCAGUGGCCAACCAACUGAGCAACCCCAAAAAGACGAGUAGCAGGAGUACAUGAAGCGGACAAACUUGCUUCUUUGGCAGCCCAGGUAUCCUCUAUGUCUUUUAUGCUUAAGAACAUAAUUGUUAAUGGUUUCAAUGGCAAUCUGCCAGGUCAGCAGUCGAACCAGUUCGAGGAUAUUUCUUGUGAGUACUGUAGAGAUAGGCAUUUCUUUGAAAAUUUCCCAUCGAAUCAAGAGUCAAAAUAUUACAUGGGAAAUCAAAAUUGGAAUGGUCCACAGUCAAAUUCUUACGACACUUCAUGAAAGAAUCAUCCAAUUUCUCCAUGGAGUAAUCAAUGGGUGGACCAUAAUGAUUCUUCUAUGUCAUAUCGACCAAAUUAUCUACCAAAAUAUUCUCAACAAGUGCAACUACCCACACCAACUGAAUCUUCAAGUAAUCUUGAGAAUUUACUGAAGGCGAACAUAGCGAAGAAUGAUGAACUAAUUCAAAGCCAAGUAGCAACAUUGAAAAAUUUAGGAAACCAAGUGGGACAGCUAGCCAAUGAGCUUAGAAGUAGACCCUAAGGUAUUUGGCCGAGUGAUACAGAAAUUCUAAGAAGCACGGGCAAAGAGCAUUGCAAAACCGUCACUUUACAAAGUGGGAAGACAUAGGAACCCAAAGCUAUCGAGGUUGAAGAUAAGCCUAUUGUAGCUCAAGGAAAAGAGCAAUUUCAACUGAGUGUUGAAACUCCUAUUCCAAAAAAUUCAGAUACGGUGAUCCUUGAUGAGGUAAACUCUAAACCAGUUAGUUCUGAUUACCUAACACCCUUGUUAGAUAUAGAAAAUUUUCCACAGAAGAUUUGUCCAGUUAAAGCUAAGAUUCCACCAUUGCCAUAUCCUCAACGAUUCCAGAAGCAGUAAAAUGAUACUCAGUUGAAAGAAAUCUUUGAUGACGAGGUGACUUUUAAUGACUUCGAUGCUACUAAAUCCCCAGAUAUAGUUGAAGACUGCUCUACUAUUUCCAAUAUGGAAUCACUGGCAUCUAUAGAAUUGGAGCUCAAUUCUUUAGACGAUCUGUUAGAACAUAUUCUACUGGAGGAUUCACCAAGUGAUGAUGAAGACAAGGAAUGUUUGGCUUGUUUAGAAGCUAAUUUGAAGGAAUCCACUCAAGAAGUUCCACUCGAAUCAUUAGAGUUAUCAUCUCAGGAGUAUACAAAACCAAAGUUGUUGAUUGAAGAGCCAGCUAAAUUGGAACUGAAGAUUUUGUCUCCUCAUUUGAAAUAUAACUAUUUGGGUCUAUCUUCGACUUUACUUAUCAUUAUUUCAGUUGAGUUCACCAAAGAUCAAAAAGAAGAGGCAAUUAUGAUUUUGGAAAGGCACAAGAAGGGUAUUGGAUGGAUUAUUUUACAUAUUCGAGUCACGGGUUGGAAGAUUUGUAGGAAUUACAGGAAGUUAAACAAGACCACCAGGAAAGAUCAUUACGGGUUUUCUUUUGCCUAAUAAGAUGUUGGACAGAUUUGAUAGGAAAGAAUAUGAUUACUUUCUAGAUGGUUAUGGUUGGUAUGAAAAAUGGCCAUUUGACAUCACCAUGGUCAAUGACGAUCCUGAAUAAAAUGAAAGGAGUUCUCUUCACUUUCUCUAUCGUUAUUUUAUAUUUUUAGUUUUUUUUCUCAUUUGAAUAAAUUGGUAGAUUUAGAUAAAAUUUUCUUUAGUUCAUUACAUUAAUUAAAACUCUGUCUAGGAGAUUGGGACUUAAACGGGAUCAUCUGUGACCCCUCCAGUCUUUCUUGGGAGUUUAAUUUAAUGUAAUUUUUGAAAAAUAUUCUUCUUAGUAGGCCGAAGGAUUUAAGUAUUUGUUUUGGUAAAUAAAGGGUCAACUUUUAAGCUAAGCACUAAUUUCGUUGAGUUUUUUUUUAGUUUACUUUCAUACAGGAGCUUAGGAUUCAAAAAAGAGCUACCAUUGGGCUUAAGACACUGCUAGGAAGGGAAAUAUUCAACCAUUUUCUGCAUAAACCUAUAGCCCUUACCUUACUCCACCUCUACUCCCAAGUAGCCCAAUAGUGCAUCUCACUUAACCCCUUAAUGUUGUAGCCCUUAACUCCCUGAAUCACCACCCCAAACACCUUAUUCUAAGUUACCAACUACAAUACCUAAACUAUCUUUAAAACUGCCACCCUCUUCAACCCUAAACCUUACCCUCAACUACUCACCCACCUUCCCAAAAUUGAAAUCACCCUUAACAGAUUUCCUAAGUUCAACACUGAGAGUCCCUUUAUCUAGCACCAUUCCACGAAGUGAACAGUUUGGUAUAAUGGCUAUGCUGCGACACAUGUAGUUGCAGCAACAAGAUUACUGGAGAUACUAAAAAAUACAGGAUGACUAAAUUAGAGAUCCAUUUAAAAUAUAUAUUUCAUAACCCGUUUGUUUUUGUGCCUGAAUUUCCAGACUUUAUAAUCGAACCAUGGACUCCAAUGUCGAGGAAGGAAAAAGAUGAAUCAGAUUCUGAGGGAUCUGCAAAUAAUACAAAAGGGGGAUCUUGAAUUUAUUCUAUUUCUGUUCUUAGGUUAUUUAAUAUUUUAGGAUUAGGAUUUAUUAGGAAUUUUAUUUUCACAUAAUAAAAUAAGAGGUGGAAAUCAUAAAUAAAAAUGAACAAGUUGUAAAGUACAAAGUGUGGCAAUAGGUAUAUACAUGUCUAGGAUUGGAUCUAGAAAGAGCUUGGUACUUAAGCAGUCAAAUUGACUCACCUCCUCUUUUCUAGAAUCCUACCUAGUGUAUAGUAUAUAUUCACUUUUAACAAUGAAGACAUUGUUCAUCUUAAGUAGGGGGACUGAAAAAUUGAAAUUAUUUCCACUCAGAAUAAAUUUUCUUUUAAUUAUGAUUAGGAUAUAUUUUGUUCAAAAAUUUAAAAUUUUGUUAAGUAUGCUAAACUUCAGUAUAAAUAAAGUUCGAUUAUUUCAAUAAUUGUUAUGAUAACUGAAAUAUGACAUAAAUGUAUUUUUAAUAAAGCAUGCAAAUCAUACCAUAAAAUUUUUAGUUCCUUAGGAAAGUUAGGCAUGCAUGAAAGUUUAAGUCUCUAGAAUUGACUUACUAGUUUCUUGAGGCGAAAUCCUAGGAAGCAUGGAAUGUUGAAAAUGAUUUAGGCAACUUUUGUUUGGACCGUUUGAGCCUUUCAAGCCAACCAUGAUAAAUUUUUAUCCCUUGAAACCCAACUUUGAGACUAUAUGGCCUAAUUUUAUUUGACCCCUUGCAAUAUUUAGCCAUCACUUUUGUCUUAAUUAUGUUUAAAUUGUCCCAAACACUAGACUCAGUACUAUUCAAAAUGUUCUUUGAAAAUAAGUUUGGGGGAGUUGAAAAGAAGUAUCAAAUGCUCAAAAAAGUUGUAGUACAUACAUUAAAAUGCUCGUAAAGAGAGAGAGAGAGAGAGCAUAUGUACUUGAAAGAAAAUAGAUGUACAAAAGAGCACGUGAAAGCAAAGUAAGUUGGUGUAUUGAAGGUAAUUAUUUUGAAGGUCCAAUUGAAGCUGAGUCUAGGGUUUUUAGCCUAAAUUUAUCUAUCUUUUACCUACCCCUAGUCUAGCCACGUUACAACCUUAUUAAAGACCUAUUGAUUCAAGUUUUUAUGCUACCUACAUUAGUUGAGAGAAAUUGUUAUGUUUAACAUAUGAAGGCAUAAGUUAAACUUAAUGAUUGCAGCUUAAUCUUGAAUAAGGGAAUAAAAUCAAAUUGGUAGGGAUUUAACAUGUCUUUAUUAAAAAGCAUUUAUUCUAUUUUUUCUAUCAUAAGAAUGAUUGAGAUUAAUUUGAAUGAUAUGUAUACAUAAGUAGCAUAAAUAUCAAAUUUCUUAUUCUUAAGCAUAAGUAUACCAAAUUCAUACUUUGUUGUUCUAAAGGAAUUGUUCAAAGGUUUUUCUGAGAAAUUCUUUUCAACUUGUGCAUUAUUCGGGACGAGCAAUGAAUUAAGUUUGGGGGAGUGGAAACACGAAAAUAUACACACUUUUUCAUGCCCCUUUUAACUCAAAUUCAUGUAGUUUCGGUAAAAUUCUUGUCGAAAAAUAUAUAAUUGUUAUAAAAUAAUUAUUUUGUACUUAAAUUAUUAGCAUGUUGAUUUUUAAUUAAUUUUAUAAUUAAUUUUGAUUAUUUUUGACAGAUUUGCAUAAAGGGAAAAAACGGCCCGACAGACACUGCUAGAAGCACAAAAUCGAGUAGCAAUUUUGAAGCAUCAAGGGCAAAUAAUUUUUCAGCAUAAAACUAUCCAAAUUAUGUGUAUUAAUUCAUAAUAUAAUUAAUUUUAAUUUUAAUCCAAUUUAAUUUGGGUUAAAUAAAUUAUUAUUAAUCAAUUAUGAAAAAGGGUCUAGUUGAGUUGAACCGAGAAAACCGAACCAACCGAGCACUGGGCAGCCCAAUGCUGUCCCACAUGCUGACCCAAUCAGUUUUCUUGGCUGAUUAUUUGGCUUGCAAAAUGUCCCUUGAAGACUUCUUCAAAUUACAUUCAAACCCCUCCACUAUUUGUGCCUUGCUAGAUUUGCCCCUACCUUAAUAUAGUAAGUUUGAAAACUUCAAACUUGCCACAUGUGUGACCGGCCAUAGGGGGACUCUAUGGCUACUGAUUUUUCCUAAUUUUGGAAGCCAUCUCAGCCUAUAAAUACCCCCCUUGGCUGCUCACUUGAAAAACAUUUCAACUCUUCUCAUCUCUUCACUUCUCUCUCAUUUUUCUCUCUUCAUUUCCCUUCCAUUAUUCUUCAUUCCCUUGUCGAUUUCACCUCUUAAACAAAAGUCAAAUUCAUCAGCCAUUUGGAGCAGCAUUCAAGUGUUCGUAGAAGCCUCAGUUUGACAAGAACAAGCGGAGAAGGAGUGGAGCAAACUAGUCAAGCCACGGAGAGAACAACGGAUUUGAUUCUUAUUCCCUACCUUUUUAAUUUUGUUGUUAUGAUGAACAUGUCUAUGAAUAUUUAUGAUGUCUAAAUUUUUAAUUUAAUUAAUAUGGCUUAAAUUUAAUUCGUGUUAGGUUGAUUGCAUUUCGUUUACUUGAGUUAUUAAAAUUUUGUUUGUAUUGUUAUAGGCCUCAGUAAGAUGUUUGAUUAAGUAAAAUCAUGACUAAGUUAUUCUUGCAUUACAAUUGUAAGGUAACUAACGAAUUAAUUAUUUAAUUGGAUUGAAAUUGUAAUUAUUUGACACGAUACUUAAUCAGUGAAUGUUUAAUCAUCUAAGGUAGCUCAGGGUUAAAUUAGCAACGGUAUCUAACUAUACAUUAGCCUUGCAUAACUUGUAAGAUUAUUGUGAUUAAACUUUUUCAAGGUAGAAAUACAUUAUUACCUCAUGUAAUCUUUUAUGUGCUUAUAAGAUUGAAUUAAUUGUUUGAAUUGGCAUAGAGAUAUGUACAAGAGAUUAUUUUAAUUUCAUAAGUAUGUAGGUGCAUUAACACAUUUGCUUAUUAAAAUAUGUUUAAUCGGUUGAAUUGACAUAGAGAUAUAGUCAAGAGAUAAAUAGAUUUUGGUAGGUAAGUAUGUUCAUAAGUUAGCAAAUUACCGAGUUGCCGUGAAUUUAUCCGUAACAACAUGAACAUGAGUUUAAUAAUUCUAAGCUAAGAAAUGUAAUUAAUCUAACACAAUUAUGUCAUAUUGAUUAAAAUGAUCUUUUGAAAUCGUGCAUUGAAACUUUUAUUUUAUUUUUAUUUAUUUUACUUAGUUAAAAUUCUUAGUUUUCAAUCACCUCCUCAAAUCAAAAUAUUUUUCUAGACCAAAAUGUUCUAAAUUGCAUUCAUAAAUAGUUCUUUUCACAGUCCCUGUGGGUACGAUAACUCGACAUUUACUUGUCACUUUAUUACUUGUUGCAAUUGUGUACACUUGCACAUUUCCAUUGUUUCACUCCCUAAUAAAGCUAAUGUCGUUACGAAUGCGUUGGGCAAAAAAAUAGUAGUCGAGUUGCGAGUGAUGUUCGCUCAACUGAGUAUUGAUAGUGAUGGAAGUUUACCAGCCGAGUUGAGAAUCAAACCAGUAUUAUUUGAUCAUAUUAGAGGUGAUAUUUGGGUGAUAGUCGAUCAUUUUUUAAAGUCGGCUCAUCACUACAAAAGCUAGCUGAAGUCUAUAUUUGAGAAAUCAUCAGAUUACACGGCGUACCUAUGUCAAUUAUCUCUGAUCGGGAUCCUUGAUUCACUUCGAGGUUUUGAAAACAAUUUUAUGAGUUACUCGGUACAAGGCUAAAUUUUAGCACGGCUUUUCACCCUCAAACAGAUGAAUAAAUAUGAACGUGUUAUUCAGAUUCUGGAAGAUAUUCUUCGAGCAUGUGUGAUCGAUUUUGAAUUGGGUUAGGAACGUUAUUUCCCUUUGGCCGAGUUCGUGUACAAUAAUAGUUUUCAAUCGAGCAUUCAAAUGGUUCCUUAUGAAGCUUUAUACGAUCGAAAAUGUAGAACACCUGUAUGCUGGUCUGAAUUGAGAAGAAGGAAGUGGUUGAGGUAGAAUUGAUUCAAGAAACGAAAAAUAUGGUUAAAGUGAUUCGAGACAGAUUGAAAGCAACUUUUGAUAGACAGAAAUCUUAUGCAAAUUUGAAACGUUGGGACAUCGAGUUUGCAAUAGAUGAUAAAGUAUUUUUAAAGGUUUCGCCAUGGAAGAAAAUUCUUCGAUUCGGUCAAAAAGGGAAGUUGAGUAAUCAUUUUAUUGGACCGUAUGAGGUUAUCGAAAGAGUAAGACUGGUUGCUUAUCAGUUCGCAUUGCCUACAGAGUUACAGAAAAUGCACGACAUAUUUCACGUGUCAAUGCUCAGAAAAUAUAGAUUGGAUCCAUCUCAUAUCAUUUCUACAGAAGAAAUUUUAAUUCAAUCUAAUCUAUCAUACCAGGAAGAACCGGUUAAAAUUUUAGCUCGUGAGGUGAAAGAGUUGCAUAACAAGCGAGUUCCGCUAAUGAAAGUUCUUUAGUGUAGCCAUAAUGUCGAGGAAGCGACGUGGGAGUCGGAGGAAAUGAUAUUGUCUCAAUAUCCCAACCUCUUUUCAGGUAAAUUUCGGGCACAAAAUUUCUUAAGGGGGAGAUUUGUAAUGACCUGAAAGUCAGCAGUGUCGGAAAAUAUGGUUUCGGGACCCUAUUUUCAUAAAUAUUUUUAAUAAAAUAUGUAUGGAAUUAUGUUAGAAGUAAAUUAAAUAUCGGUUAGGUGAUUUCUUUGAAUUAGAACUUAAAUUAAGGUACAGGGACUUAAUUGCUUAAGUGAAAAAAGUAUAAUGGUUAUUAAGCUAUAAACUAAUUUAUAAUUAAAGGACUUGAAAAAAACAAUUUGUAUCCUUUUUAUUUAAUUAAGUGGACGGUCAUAUCAUAUUUAUAUGUAUGUAAUAUAUAUUAUGUUAACUAUAAUAUAUUUAUGUUAUAUUAAACUACUAUAAAUAAAAUAAAAUAAAAUAAAAUAAAGAUGAAUAAUAGAUAGUGGAUAGGAAGAGAAGCAUAAAAAUUUCUUUUCAAUUUGUUUCAAUUUUGAAACAAGAAAAGCUUGGGAGGAGAAGAGAAACACACGGCCUAGGGCUGAAAGUUUCAAGUUAAUUUGGUUAGUAGAUUUUGAUCUUUUUUACUUAAAUUUUAUAUUUUUGGAACCUUAAGAUCAUGAACUAGCUUACCCAUUAUAACGCUCGGGUUUGUGCAAGUGUACACAGUCGUUAUCAAGUAAUAAGUAAGUAUCGAGUUAUCGUCUCCACAGGGAUUGUGCUUGUGCUAAGUCACUUAACUUGUAAAAUUAUAUUAACAAUUUGAAAAAAAAUAAAAACACAAUAUAGUUGAGAAGUGGUGUCUAAAUUAAAUUAAAUGCAAUGAUCCCUAAUGCAAGUUUUCCUAAGUAUGCAGACUAUAUGAAUGAAGUAGAUUUUAGCAAAAUUAAACACAAUUUGCAACAAUUAUAACAUAAAUAAACUAGGACAAUUACUUUAAUCAAACUUAAUUUAUUACCAUCAUACUUAAUAAUAUUCGGAAAAACAUUCCAUGGCAACUCGAUCUUUCAUGAGUUUGGAAACCAAAUUAGGCCCUUUCGAAAUCCUUUACUUAGUAAAUAUACAUUUUACUGAUCCUUAUUUACUAAGGGUUUCUUAGCAUUUGUGUGAGGUAACAGGGAAGUGUUAGGUUUGAAACAAUUUAAUCACACAAAUUUAAAAAUUAUGCAGAUAACAGAGCCUAGUUAGGGUUGUUAUGCAACCUACAACUUAAUCGGGUUAGAAUCUAAAUUGAGCAUGCACAUUUCAAUUAUGCGUCCAUUAGCCAUCGUCUGGUUAGGAUCGCUCAGCUAAUUCAGGUGUAUUUCAAUCACGUAUGAACGAAAUACAAACUUGAUUUUAAUUGAAAACAUGAUAAAUUGAGGACAAACAUUAUAAGCAUGAAUUAAAUAAAUAUUAUUUAAUUAAAAUAAUCAACCUAGCUUAAAUAAAAUUAAGGUAUCAUUUUUUUAAACAAGAACAAAGAACUCAUAGAAAAAUUAAACCCAAUUCAGAGUGGCUGUCACCCAAGACUCUGACUGACGAGGUCCCUUCGCUCCUUUGCUUUGCUCCUCUACUGAUGGCUUUCCAAGGUGGCCGGCCAAGGGCUCUUUAAGAGGCUAAUUUGCUGAAAUCCUUUAUGCAAAGUUGGUGAUAGGCGUGAUAGCUAAGAGAGUUGAGAGAAUUGAGAGAGGAGAGAAUGAUGAGAAGUGAGGGAUGAUGGAUGAAUGAAUGAGAGGGUCUUAUUUAUAGGUGAGGAAAGGGAGAUAGUUUACUAAAAAUAGGGGUGUUCAUCCUUUGAAAAAUCUCCCAUGGUUGGUUGUCCAUAAAUCAAGCAAAUCAAGCUCAUUUUUCCUUGAUUUUUUAUCAGUUUGGAUGCCACAACAAUUCAGGACUGAGACUCGAUCAAGUGCAAAUCUUCAGGUAAAUCUCUAAUUUCUUCAACUCUUCGAGGACCUUGUAUAAUUAAACCAAAAUUUGGUUUAUAAUCAGCCAUGUGCAGUCAAAGAUUGGGUUCACUUGGUCCCCACUUGGAUGGUUUUGCAAAUAGAAGAAAAUCCUUAGACCUGUCAAAGAUAGCAAAUAGUUUAGAGGACCAAUAAAUUAAUUUAACAACUUUAAUUAAUCAAUUUAUUUAAUUAAUUAAACCUAAUUUUUAUUAAUUAAAUAUUUAAAAUGAAUUAUUAAAAUAUAACAUUAUAUUUUAUUAUUUAAUUUAAUCAUGCAUGGCCCACUUCAUAGCUUAAAAUAUAAUAUGAUUAAAUUAAAAUAAAAUAAGUCAUUUUAUGCAUGAAAAUUAUAUAAUAAAACAUAAAAUCACAUUUUAAUAAUUUCUAUGUCCUAAUUUCAUAUUUUCACAUAUUUCAUUAAUUUAUUAAACAAUUACUUAGUUUUAACAACAAUUUUAAGUAAAAAGGUGAUGAAUUAUAUAGGAAAAAUCCUAUAUAUUUUUCCGUUUACACCCAUGAACUAGCUUACACCAAUUCUACGUGUCGCGAAAACAACUUCGAAUGCAAGCUAGGAGAGCAAAAUCAAUGUUGUCGUGACAUGAGCUCUUCAACAUUCUGACAUCCAAAUUCAAAUGCGUGUAAGGGAAUAUGGAUGCUUUAAUGUCGCUACACUGGCACUUAGUUUCGUGACAUACAACUUCGAAACUUCCAACAGAGAUAAUUUGUUUUCAGUGUCGAGACGCUGGUCCUGUGGUGUUGCGACAUCGAUUCGACGAGGGCCAAAUUACAGGUGAGGGUAUUUUCAUCUCCACAACACAUUUUAGCUCGAGUUAUUCACUUGUAAUAGACAUAAUGGUCAUAAAACACCAAAAAUAUAAAUAGAAAUGGGUAAGGUUUCAUUUGGGGAGCUUAUUCCAUUAGUUAAUUUUUAGUUUUCUAGUUUUAGGUUUUGUUGAUUUGGGAAUUUGUUGUUAACUUCAAUUUUGGAUUCAAUUUCAAUUCAAGUUUUAUUUUCUUCAUCUAUUUGUAUUUUUUUUCUUUUGGUUUAACAUUCAAUCACUAUUUCCUCAACGACUAUUAAUGAGUUUUCAUCUUCCAAGCGUGAUCGACAUACCAACAAAUCAAAAUUCUCUUUUUCCCCCUUUCUAGUUUGCUAUUUGUCUUCAUGUUUGAAUUGAAUUUAGAGAAAAUUGUAUUUAGAUUCAUAAGGAUCUAAACCUAUAGGAAGAUUAACAACCGAAGGUAGAAUUAAUUAACUGAGGAGUUAGGGCUUGUCGUUGAAUUAGUUGGAUUAAAUUAUGUGUGCUUAAACCUUAGGAUUGACAACCCUAGGAAGUUAUUUAGGUAAUAAGGUUGAAAGAAUAGUUUAUCGAGAAUCUAUUAAUUUAACCUAGUUUAAAUUACGAGGUCAAAAGAUAACUUGUUUCUGUCAAUUAGUUGAUUUAGUUAGAGGCCAAAAGGUAAUAAAUAGGUUAAUUAUUAGCUAAUUCAUAAAAACCCAAAUUCUGAAGUUAAUUAUGAACACAACGUAAGUUAACCUUUUGUUUGUUUACUGAGUGAAUUUUGAUCGUUAGUUUAGUUUUCUUUAAUUUAUGAUAGUAUUACUGCUUAGUUUUAUUUCGAUUUGUCAUACUAUAAUUUUAGCCUAUUAGCCUAGAAAUUAGUCUCUUGUUUGAUCCAGCCUCCUUUAGGCAAAAUCUUCGGAAUACUUCUGUAUUCCAUUAAAACUUUUAUAUUACAACCUGACCCGUAGCAAACACCGUUGUUAUUUUAUAUCUUUUAUUUUCAAUAUUUUCAGUCUAGGUGUUUGCACAUUUGGUUAUUGACUAGUAACCAUUAAAUAGUCAAUUACUAUCAAAUAGUAAUCAAGUCAUUUAUGACAAAGACAAAUAAGCCAUGGCCAUGUUUACUUUUCAUCUAUCAUGAAUGCUAAUGACAGGAUAUCAUUUACCCAUUAGUUGGGCUAUGAAUUCCACUAUUGUAAAUGAUGCUACAUAUUGUAGAAGUUGUAUACACAAUGCACUAACUUUAAGUUCCUUACAUCAAGUUACUAUUUGACGUAUGUUUUUUAUGCUAAGAGUAGAAAGCUAGUAAAUUAGUAGAGUAUUUAUUUUUCGCUAUGUGUUUGGCAUAUUCUGUGGGAUUCGCCAUUUGGAAAAUUUCAGGUUUCGUGGACUCAUCUGGUAAGUAUCCACCAACCCCAGAUGUUUUGGGCGAACUCGCUAAUUCACAGCUCGAUAAGUUUACCUUUGUGGUUAGUAUAUGUUAUGAUGACAUAGUAAGUGAUGUUAGAGUUUAGUUGAGAUCUAGUUAGAACUGAACUAGGAUACUAUAGAUGAUUUGAUACUUAAUUAAUUCUUCUUGAAUUUCUAGAGUGAUCGUGAGAUCCUCUAGCCUUCCACUAAGUUUUGUUCCAGUGUGUCUCUUCUAUAUAAGGACAUCAAACUAGCAUGUUGCACGUUUUUUUUACGCUUCUUCUUCUUCCUUGUAUUUUCACCAAAGCUUUAGAAAUUCUAAGUUAAAGUCAAUAGCAAAGAGUUCCAGCAUUUAGCUAACACCACUAUUAUCACCAGAUUUUUGGAAAUUUUUGGUAAACCCUUAGGUCAUUAUUGAAGGAAUUUAUGUGCUUAUAGUAAUUCAUGCUUAAGUUUUAGAAUUGUUCUUAAGAAAUAAAACUUCUUGAUUCUAGUUUACAUGCUACUGAUUGGGUUGCAUGUUAUUGAUUCAUGCAUGCAUGUCAAAUUUCUAUAAUUUGAUGGUCUGAUAGAUGUAUUUGUCUCUCUUUUAGCUCAAGAAGCUAACGAAGGUCCAAGCAAUAAGGGAAAAGGACCUACUGAGUAAAUUAUUGUACUAGACUUUCUGGUGAGUUCCUUCUCAGUCCAUGUGUUGUAAAUUAUAUUGUUGCAUGAACUGUGUAAGGUAAGAGUUCCUUCUCAACAACAUAAGUGUGGUGUUUGGUCUUGUGGUGUUCAACCAGUAUAAUCGAUAUGGGUAUGGUCUGUUAUGUUUUGAUGUGUAACACCCUCAUUGUUGCACAAGUCAGUACCACCAAUAUGUAAUAUGUGAUAUGUGAUAAUGAAGAAGGGGAAUAUGUCCGUGAUGUCUCCAAUAGGGUAGUUAUAUUACAAAUAGGACUGCCAGAUCACGAGAAAACAUACGCGACUAAAUAGAAAUGAUAUGAGUAGUUAAUAGGGUGUGUGUAUAUAAAUACGACUAAAUAAUAUGAUUCUUACUCUAAAUUCUGGUUACGAGGCUGGCAUAAGGAUGGGUUGUGUAUAAGUUAUGUUUAAGUUGGUGGAGUGCCCAUGUGUCAUGUUAAGUUGGCAUAUUGAGUCUGUAUGUAUUCUGUGAGUGUCAACGGGCGUGUUAUGAGUAUUGCAUUUGAACCUCUCUGAAAUUUCAUGUAUCUUUAUGGUAUUAAAGCUUGUUCAUCAGUAGUAUCAUUGUAGAUUAGUUGUAUUUUCAUUAUGGAACUCACUAAGUAAAUUUGAACUUAUUCUGUUAACCUUUCCUUCUCAGGUGUGCUGAUUGAAGGAAGUGAUUCUAUUGAAGGGACUAUGCCAGAGAACUGUUGAUUGUGAACUAUCUAUUAAAUUUUGUAUCAUGUAUGACCUUUUGGGGGUGGCAUGUAGAGCUACUUUGUAACUAACUUGUAUAAUGAUUUACCACUUUUAUCAAGAUACGAUUUUGUGAGAAUCUUUACAAACUUUUUAUGCAUAUGUUUAAUCUACUAUAUUUUGUUUUAUUAUAUGGUCUUAUUGACAUAUAUGCCAAAUAGUUUUUUAAUGUUAUUUUAACCGUCAAUGAUGCACUUGAAACUAUUGUAUAGGAAUAACCCAUCAUACAUUUUAUAUAAACUUGUAAACUUUUGUACGGCUUUCACCAUGUGUUUUGUCUAAAAAUGUUUUACCUGCUGUAUCAUUGAUUUGAUUGUUUUCUUAUUGCUGUUCUGAGGUUCACGUCCAAAUCUCAAACCUUUUAUAAAUUUCAAAUAUUAUUUGUUAAAUUCAUAUGGUUAAGUUUUGGCACUCUCUAUUGAGAUUUAGGGAUUGGGUCGAGUAGCGAGUGUUACAGAGUCACACAUACAUAGUCUAACAUCCACUCAGGAUUAAGGUAUGUCACACUAUGAACAUCGUAAGUGAAUAAAUCUAUAAACAAAUUUAGGAUAUUCUAAUUGGGUCUAGUCUGAUGUACUGUUAGGUCAAUCAAUCACAUCUAUGUCUCUGUCUUCUGAGAGACAUCCGCUCCGAUGCUUAAAACAAAGCAUCUCCCUAAUUGGACUUGAUGGCCACAUAUUAGUCUUUCAAUUGGUUUACUCAUUUUUUAUUAGACUAAGGACAUGUUUACGUUCAUCUACUAAUAUAAAUUUUCUUUUUGUAUUACAAUCAACCAUGUAAUACUGUUUAUUAUUAGUUAAACAUUCAAUAAUCAAUGGGCCAAUAUUUGUUUUCAUUUUGCUUUGUCUAUAAAAACCAUUGAAGACAAUAUACAAGGGUAUUAAUGUAAUUAAUGGAUAUUAUUAUUAAACCUAAAGUGACCCUAGUCGGAAAGCGGUCUCGGGACCGCUAGACCGAGUCACCAAAUUAUUUGAAUGUGAUAAUUAUUGCCUAAAAUAUGUGAAUAUAAAUGUGUGAAAGUUUUAAGCUUCGAUUUAGUUAAUUGCAUGUGAAUUUAGUUGAUAGGACUUAUGUGAGAAAAUUUAGAAAUGUGCUAGGCAAAUGCAAGUGGCCUAAUAGUGCAUGUAAUCAAAGGGGUGGACUUGCAUGUCAAUUUCCCCCCAUUUAAGUACUAGUGGCCGGCCAUGACAAGGGAUGGUGGGCAAAACAUGUCAUGAAACAUGUUGUGUUAAUGGAAAAAUAAAAUAAGAAGCAUGGGCAAAACAUGUCAUGAAACAUGUUGUGUUAAUGGAGGAAUAAAAUAAGAAGCAUGGGCAAUAAACUAAUAAGAAAUUGAAGGAAGAAAACAAAGAGAAAAAAAUGUGUUCAUCAUUCUCAUGCAUGACCAAAAAAAAAAGAAGAGAAAAGCUCUCAUGUUGUUCUUGGCCGAAUAGGAGAAAGAAAAAGAAGGAAAAAGAGCUUUGAGGAAAUCGACUAUGGUGGUUUGAUAGACUAAGGUAUGUUUGAUGAUGUUCCAUGAGAUGCAUGCAUGUUUUAGUAGUUAGCUUGAGUUCUAAAUAGCCCAUGGUUCAAAUCUUUACUAUGUCAUGGAGAUGAUAUUCGGCCAAGGUGGAUUGGUGUUGAUAUCACUUGCAUGCUAAAAGUGAAGCUUUGUAAUGGUGCAUGUGAUGAUGGAUUGAUGAUUCUUGAAUCUUCUUUUUAGCAUUUUUGAGUGAGACAUUAAGUUCUUUGUUUAACCAUGACCAAAAAUUGAAAUGGUAUGGUGUUGUGAUGCAAUCGGCCCCAACAUAGACAUGUAUGUUCGGCCACAUGAAUAAGUACAUAAGUUAUGUGUAUGUUCGGCCAUAGGUAGCCUAUUGAUGGCUUUAGCUUGACUUAGAAAAUUCGGCUAAGGGGAAAUAUUAGCUAGUAUGUUGAAUUCGAUUCGUGAUUUCGUACAUAUGUGACUCUAGUGUCUAAUGUAUAUAUGGGCUAAGUACCUUGAGCUUCUCUUUUGAUGUUCGAAUGAAUUGUAUUAAAUAGCUUGAUGUGAUUAAAAAUGCGUAUGACCAUUGUGUAUUUGAGCUAAAAGGUGGCCAUAUGACCUAUCAAACUCCUUGUCAUAUUCGGCCAUAAGCUAGCAAAAUGAGACUUUAAUGAGUUAAAUUUGUUUGAAUUAAGCUCAAGAGCAAAGGGGAACUAAAUCCGAUAAAGGGAAGGAAAAAGUGGUCGAAUAGCCGUCGAAACCGUUCGACAACAUCCGAGGUAAGUUCUUGAGUAAUAGAGCUUAAAUUAUGAUUUGAUUAGAUCAUGUUUUAAGCAAAUCAAAAUCAUGCUUCUUGUGUGUGGCUAUUGAGCCGAAAUUGCAAGAGUGAUAAGUGUCUUGUGUUUGAGUUUUGCUAAUGAAAAUGAAAUACGAAUGUGUCAUGAUUUAUUGUUAAAUGUGCAUGGUUAUUCGAAUGAUGUCCGGGCUAAGUCCCGAAGGCUUUGUGCUAAGUGACCAUAUCCGGACUAAGAUCCGAAGGCAUUUGUACGAGAUACUAAUUCCGGGCUAAGCCCGAAGGCAUUGGUGCGAGUUACUAAAUUCGGGUUAAGUCCCGAAGGCAUUUGUGCGAGUUACUAAAUCCGGGUUAAGUCCCGAAGGCAUUUGUGCGAGUUACUAUAACCGGGAUAUGUCCCGAAGGCAUUUUAACGAGUAGCUAUAUCCGGUUAAAUUCCGAAGGUACGUGAUUUGGGAAUGAAUGAUCUUGCUGUAAAAAUUUCAGUUAAUAUGCUUGAAACAUCCCAACAUUGAGGUAUGUUUCGUAUGUGCUUUGAAUUAGUUUAGCCCUUACAAAUAAGUAUUCGCUCAGUUGAUAAAUGAGCUACCGGCCUUUGGCUAAGUUGAUCUUUGUGUAUGAAUAAAAGGGUUGGUAAUGUGAAGUAAGUAUGAUAUUGAAAAUUUGUGCAUAUGAAAUUAUCCGUUUAGCUACAUGAAUGCUAUACUUUGGUUGUGUCUAAAUUCUUUGCUCAAAACUUACUAAGCAUUUAAUGCUUACUCCGUUUCUUUGAUUCUCUGUUUUAUAGAUUUUGGUUCUUCAGCUAUCGGACUCGGGAUUUUGAAGUCGAAGUCGCCCACACUAUCAAAGCCCCCUUUUGGUACAAUUUUGGUUGAACUUCGAAAUGGCAUGUAUAGGACUACCCUUUUUGUUGUGGGUCAUGGACCCUUUGGAUUUGUAUAAUUUUGGAUAGCCAUGCGAAAAUGGCUUAUAUAUGUUUGAGCAUAAUGUUAUAAUCAUUUGGUAUGGAUAUGCUUAACAAGGAUUGGCCAUGGGAAUGGUUAAUCGCUAUCAUAAUUUGUGCUAUUUAUGCUAAAAGGACUAGUUGAAUCAUGGAAACUAUGAAAUAGGUAAAGUCUACCUUAAAGGCAGAUGCUGACAGCAGCAGUGAUGUAGAUUUGUAAAAUCACUAAAAAUAGUAGGAAUGGAAUUAAAUAGUGAAUAAAUUAUGCAAACGAAGCUUGAUGAAUCUAUUUUCAUAGGAAAGUAACGAAACGUUCAUAUGAACAGUAUAUUAUGAGAUGCUAAAGUUUUCGUGAGACAGGGCCAGAACGGUUUCUGGAUUCCCUGUUCCGACUUUGGAAAUUCAUUAUAAAUUAACCAGAGAUAAUUAGAAGUCAUACCAUAUAUGAAUAGAUUCCUUUUUGAGUCUAGUUUCUAUAGAAACAAACGACAUCAGUAUUGAAGCCCUGUACAGGGAGAUAUCCAAGUCGUAAUGCGCAAAGGUCAGUGUAGUCGAUCCCUGUAACAUGGGAGACUUUGACUAAUAAACUGUACUAAUUGGCCCAAUUAAAAAUUCUAGAAAAAAAUUUGUAGAUGCAUAUAUGAGUCUAGUUUCAGGGAAAAAUCACGAAGCUGAUUUUCGAGUUGUGAAACUCAAGAUAUGAUUUUUAAGGUGACAGUGACGCAGUUAGCCAGCUUGCCUGGAAAAUUUAAAAUGGAUUGUGCAAAGAAGUGAUUUAAGUCUGCAAACCCCUCGUGUCCGACUCCGGCGACGGACUCGGGUACGGGGUGUUACAUGACUUGUUGAAAAUUGAAUAAUUUUUACUUGGACUAUUGCCAAUUUCGUGACAUUCACUUAGUGAUGUCACAACACCAAAUACAGUAGGGUCGGAGAUUUGAGGUUAAAAACAGGGUCGGUGUAGCGAUUCCGUGCUAGAAAAGUGUGACAGUAUGGAUAGAAUGCUCGGUAUCGUGACAUAAGAAGUUGGGUUCGCAAAAUUACUUUUGGGUACCACAAAAUACCCUUUAAACCUCUUAACUCUUAUUUUGCGAACCCAAAAGUAAACCUAAAAUAACCAAUUUAAACCUCUUACUUACCAAAGUGGAACCAACGCUGGAAGAAAAAGAAGAAAGUACCACAUUACUUACCAAAGUGGAAAUCUAAAGGAAGCAUCUACUAAAAGGUGGAGUUCACAGUGAGACCUUAGGGAUGAUGUUCUCACUCAAUGGGUAGCCACUUUGCAACCAUAUAUUGAUAAGUUUGUGGAUCAGUAAGGAUGGGAUGUCCUACAAUCGUCGUUGAAUCCCUAUGUCAAAUUUUAGCACAAUGAGGAAUAAGAAGAAGAGAAUGAUGAAAGAGAAAAUGAGAGCGAUGAUGAUGAAGGGGAUAACAUGGAUGAGAACUCCCCAAUGCCCUAAUUUCAUGAUUUAGAUGAGGCGUUUGUUUUGGAAUGACCUCCAACUAAGGGAUAGUUUUCUGCAGCCUAGAAGAAGACAAGUCGUGUUGUCAUCCGGUCUAGAAUACUUAAAAAAUAGAUCACAAGAAUCAAUAUAAGGGGAAAAUGGUGGUGGAUUCAAUGUUGGACUUCGACAAAGACAAAAGUUACAUUCCGUUUAAAUUUUGGAGAAUCUAAAUUAAAGAUACUAUGAUUAUUUUAGAUUUGGUUGUUGUUUUCUUUUAUUUUUAUUUACAAUUUGUAUGUGCUUUUAUUUUUGUGUGUGUUUUAUUUUUUAUGUAGGUCACCCACUCAAGGAUUACUCUAAAUUAUAGAGCUUAACAGAGAGGAGGACUACCUCAAUCUACCUCACGUCGCUUCAUGAAAAACAAGGGAGUCCUAAACUCUUAUCUUUAGAUUGGGAGCACAUUGGGGACAAUAUGCAAUUUGAGUUUGAGGGUAUACAUAAAAAUUUUAUUAAUUUAUUUGCUUGACGUGUUUUUGUGUUUAUUUCUUUAGUUUAAUAAAAAUGUUCAAAAAUGCCAAAAAAAAGUUAAAGUUAUUUGUUAUUUGUUUGUGUUUGUUGCAUAGUGCUUGAGCAUGUUGACUUUGAUGUGAUUGGUAUAUUGGUAUGAUGAUGUUUUUUGAAUUCUUUCAAGCAUGUAAAUUUUGUAUUGUGUUAGUAGAAUUUUAUUCUUUUAGAGUUAGAUUGGUUAGUUUAAUGGAUUACAAUAUGCAAUAGGGUAGAGGUGAUCAUUCUAUGCUAAAUUUCAUGCCUCAUGACAAAUAGUUAUAUUGAUGGAUGUUGAUAUACAUGUUUGGAAUCAUAAGAAGAGCAUUUUUUGAAUUUAUAAAUAUUGAAAUGUUUAGGCAUGACUUAAAACAUUGCUUGCAUAACUAAAGCCAAAUGACCUACCUAUGAAUGUUAUGUUACCUCCAGGACCUCUAUUUAAGCCUUAUUGUACCUUCUUUGAUAAGCCUAUACUUUUGAGACCUUGAGCCUUAAAAUAGAGUUACUAAUCAACCUUUUUCUCUAUCCUAUCUUUUAUAUGCACUUAGAAUUGGACGACGGACCAUAGAUAUUAUGGUUUAGGUAGAAACAAAAUGGUGGUUUUAAAAGAAUAUGUGCUUGAGUGAACUAGUGGAGAGACGAUUUUAAUGCCAUAUGUAGAGAAUCUUGCUUUUAAAGUGCUUAAUGGAAAAUCUUGAUUGAAAGCAUGGAAAGGGAUAAAAUCAUAGUGAGUUAUGAAAAGUGCAUACAACGAGUAAAAGCAUUGAGAUUGAAAAAGAGACAUUUAUUGGAUAAAAUGUUAAGAUUUUCCUGAGCUUAAAAUAAUCUUGUUUCGCUUCUUAACGCACAAUUUCGCUAAGCUUUUAUACUUUUGGUAAUUGAAUCAUGUCUUCAUAGAUUCUUUUCUUGAAAACAAAUUAUCCUUAAGCCUCAGAACAUUAAAAACCUAAAAGUCCUAUGUGACCUUAACCUUUCAACUUAUGAAUUCUUGACUAGUACUUUUUAUGAGAAAUGAAUGACUAGAGUUCUCUCUUGUAUAAGAAUUACAUCUACAUAAAUUGUUUUGAUGGAUUUCAAUGAAUGAUAGUACUUAUAUAUGAUUACGUCUAUGCUUGUUCAUCUUGUAAUUUUGUGAACUAUCUUAAUUUACUUUAAAAGUUGAGAAUUCUCUAGACAUCAUACUUAGGUUGCAUGUUAGAAGAAUCAUCUACAUUGUAUUUACCUCUUAACUAAUCAUGACCAUUAUUGUUGCUCAAGGAUUGUCUUUUGUCAUCCUAUUUUCUAAUUUUGUUACUUUUUAUGUUUUAUAUUUUAUAGAAAGUAUGAGAUUUCACCCCAGAAUCAAUAAAUACAUUGACAAAAAUUAGCUCAAGAACCAUCUAACAACCCAAUCAUAUUAGCCCAAAACAAAAUUUUAGGACAAUUGUAGCAUCUAGUUAGCUUCCCUACUUUGAAGCUUAUGCAAAUAAAAGAUAGGGCCCAAUAGGAAUAACAAUUCACGUGUCACAAAGAAAAAUAAUUGAAAACAUUUUAUGGGGAAAUAAUACAAGAGCAUAAGAAUCCAUAGGAGAUUCUUUUUAUUUAAUAAUAAGUAUAAAUACAUUAAUAGACUGUGAUAUUAACAGAAGCUAAUUUUGUUUUUGGAAGAUUAGGUUGCAAAGGAAUUUAUUAUUUCCAUAAAUUCAAUAUAAGUUGGUACAUGGAUUGAAUAGGCAUUAAGCUUCCACCCACACCAUCAGAGACUUCCAGUCCUUAAGAAUAAACAUACAAAUUUAAAUUAUUUAAAUAAUCUAAAAAAGGAAAAAAAUAUAAAACUGUAAGCCAAGUGAAGAAUGAUCAAUUACUUAAAAGCCUUUGUGUUUAACUUUAAGCAGCGACAUUGUGGAGCACAACGGCCUCAAUAGUGAGGCCAGAUUCGAACCUAAAGAGCACUCCUCACUCCAGCCCUUCUCUUGUGGUUUGAAGCCCAUCUUCCCUUGAUUUUUAAAUGAGUUUAUAAUUAAUAGGCGAAAAGCUAAAACUUAAUUAUAAAUCAAUUGAGCUGUAAUCACAUGCGUUCAAUCGGACCCUCUGCUAGCUCGUUGAAACCAGAAAUGAAUUGCAUGUUAAAUCAAAUAAACAAAAAUGGAUAGAAAUGAUAAAGUUAAAGAAAUCGACAACAUUCUGAAAUGAAUGUGGUUUUUUCACUAAGUAUGAAAAUGACCUGAUAAUUAAUUUAUGAUUUUUCAAAUUAUUAUUUAAUUAAUUAAAUUAUUGAAGUCUAAAAAUGGAAUUAAAUUAACUCGUCAUUGUGAAUUCGUUGAAUGUGAAAAAAUUAAAUAUAUGUUCUUAUAGAUUCUUUUACCGUAAUGUUACCAUGAAUUUAACGGAAUCAAAAUUAGGUUGAGAAAAUUAUUUAAUUGAAAAUUUAAUUAAUUUAAAUUAAUUUAUAAUGUUUAUUUUGGGAAAUAGAAAAACACGUAUUGCGUUAGAUUAAAUUAUAAAGUGAUGGGUUAAAAAUCUAAAAAGCACAUAUAAUUGGACCUAAUACAGGAGAAGCAUGAAUCCCCAUAAUAAUACAUAUGAGGGGAAGCACACCCUAUUAGCCCCUUUCUCUCAUAGUUGAUUGUUUUUCUAUUAAAUAGGCAUUAAAUGUUUCUAUUAAUUCAACAAUUCUUUCACUUCUUCUCCCUAUAAAUAGAUGGCAUCAGUAGGGCUAAAAAAAGUUACACAAAACUUUGAGAUAUUGCUAUUCUGCCCAAAAAUAAUGAGAAUUUAUUUCUAAGCAUAAAUUCUACUUUUCGAGAAUAACAGUUCUAUUGAUUUCUAUUAGAGAGACAAUUUUACUUUUCCAUUAAAGGUAAAGUGAAUAAUUUUUGGUUCUAUGUUUGAUUUGAAUUUGUUCAAGUCCACACUCAAGAUAGUUUAUGAUAUGAUAAUUGCGUAGAACGCCGUUAGGUUAAAAUUCGGGAACGAGAAGGAUUCUUCUAGCCCAAAACACAAGUGCAAUUUCGGAAAGUUUAUUAUUAUAAAUAUCACAAACCACCUCAGUUUUCACAAUUUUAUUUUUCCGCUAUGUAAGAAAAUAUUUUCGAACCGGAUUUUUUCCAACACAUAAUUCGCAUAAUAUUUGUAUCACAUAUCAUAUAUCAAUAAUAUCACACUCUUUUAUACUAUAUUCAAUUCAGUCCAAGUUCCCGAUAUUCAAUAUCAUCAACCCAAAUCACUUUAUGAAAUAAUUCGUAAUCUUACCUUAAUAUUUAAUUUUCAACAAACAUGUAUAUAUAUGUAUAUAAAUGGAAUGAUCUCGAAUCAUAAAAUUACAAAUCGAAUUUAUCUCGUCACUCGUCAACAACACUAACCUUUCCCUUCUCUCGUGAUAGCCCGACAUUGUCUUUAGCUAUAUUCUAUAAUUCAAUAACAAACAAUAUUAGUUUACAUUCAAAUAACACUCAAAUACAAAGCUAAACAUAUUUUUCAUUUUAUUCAAUUUAGUUCAUGUACUCGGGAUAUGUAUAUUUCUCGAUAUCUAACAUCGGAUCAAAAUCUGACUUCACGUUAUUUCAUUAUGGAUCUUAUACAUUCUAUUCACAUCCUAAUUUCAUGAUAGGUUUUUCAUUUAUUCAAUUUAGUCCCUAAUGUUAGAAAGAUAUCUAACAAGCUCAAUUGGCUUUACAAUUUAGUCCGUAUCAUGAUCCAAGCUUAUUAACUAUCAAUUUCUAGCCUAAUUCAUCAAUUUCUCCACAAUAGUAAUUUGCUAAAAACUUAAUAAUUUAACAAAUUGAUACAUUGGCUAACUAAAUCAAGCUCCCAUGAUCAUAAAUCUAUAAAAACAAUUACAUGAAAAUGACAUGAUUACCUUAAAUAAUAGCUUGGUCGAAUGCUAACCUUAAAAAAUGGAGCUUUUCUUUUUCUUUUCCUUUUUUUUCUAUUUUGUAUCUGUAACACCCCGUACCCGAGACCGUUACCGGAGUCGGACACGAGGGGUUCACAGACUAAAUCCGCUUACUAUUGCAGUCCAUUUUAAAUUUUUCCAAACAGCUGGCUAACUGUGUCGCUGUCACCUUAAAAAUCAUAUCUUGAGUUUCACAACUCUAAAAUCAGUUUCGUGAUUUUUCCCUGAAACUAGACUCCUAUGUCCAUCUACAUAUUUUUUUCUAGAAUUUUUGGUCGGGCCAAUUAGUACAGUUUAUUAGUUAAAGUCUCCCCUGUUACAGGGUGCGACUACACUGACCUUCAUGCAUUACAAUUUGGAUAUCUCCCUGUACAGGGCUUCAGUACUGAUGCCGUUUGUUUCUAUAGAAACUAGACUCAGAGAGGAAUCUAUAAAUAUAUGGCAUGACUCCUAAUUAUCUCUGGUUAAUUUAUAAUGAAUUUCCAAAGUCGGAAUAGGGAAUCCAGAAACCGUUCUGGCCCUGUCUCAUGAAAACCUAAUUAUCUCUUAACAUACCACUCAUAUGACCGUUUCGUUUCUUCCAUAUGAAAGUGGAUUCAUCAAGGUUCAUUUAAAUAAUUUAUUCACUAUUUAAUUAUAUUCCUACUAUUUUUAGUGAUUUUCCAAAUCUACAUCACUGCUGCUGUCAGCAUCUGCCUUUAAGGUAGACUUUACCUAUUUCAUAGUUUCCAUGAUUCAACUAGCCCUUUUAGCAUAAAUAGCACAAAUUAUGAUAGUGAUUAACCAUUCCCAUGGCCAAUUCUUGUUAAGCAUAUCCACACCUCUCAAUAACCAUAUCCAUACCAAAUGAUUAUAACAUUAUGCUCAAACAUAUAUAAGCCAUUUUCGCAUGGCUAUCCAAAAUUAUACAAAUCCAAAGGGUCCAUGACCCACUACAAAAAGGGUAGUCCUAUACAUGCCAUUUUCAGAGUUCAACCAAAAGUGUACCAAAAGGGCUUUGAUAGUGUGGGCGACUUCGACUUCAAUAAUCCCGAGUCCGAUAGCUGACGAACCAAAAUCUAUAAAACAGAGAUUCAAAGAACGGAGUAAGCAUUUAAUGCUUAGUAAGUUUUAAGCAGUGUCAACAGAUAACAAUCAAAUUAUAACAUAGUUGUUCGUAUUUUUAUUUCACUCUUCCUUCGGGCAUAUCAUCCCUUUACCGAAUGUGCACAUCUCAUCAUAUACAAUAGGCAGAUAAACUUUCACAUAAAAGUGAGCUCAUGUGACAUAGAUAUAUCGUAUGAUUUCACAUAACCUCUCACACUGAUCCGAUGUCACAUAAUCAUAGGAAUAGUCUCAUAGAUUGCUCUCGUAUGCAUCACAUAACUACCUUAUGAUUUAGUGCAAAUCAAGCUCACAUAUAAACUUGGAGUACAUACCUGUUUAACCUUUCGCAUUGAAUAUAUUUACAAGCAAUUCUUAUUACGAAGUCUUACCCGGACAUAAUCUCCACACGAAGUUAUCGGGUCUUACCCGGACAAAAUCCCCACACGUAGUCAUCGGGUCUUUAGAGCUCGGAUAUAGUACGAGCACGAAGCUUACAGACAUUAAUCAGUGAUAAUAUUCUCGCAUAAAGCCUGCGGGGUUUUAACCCGGAUAUAGUAUUGACACAAAUGCCCUUCGGGACUUAUCACAUUUAUACACUUUCACAUCCAUCACGUUGGCCACUCGGCCGUGUCACAUAUAUACACUUUCACAUUCAUCACAUCGGCCAUUAGGCCUUAUCACAUAUAUACACUUUCACAUUCAUCACAUCGGCCAUUAGGCCUUAUCACAUAUAUAUACACUUUCACAUUCAUCACAUCGGCCAUUAGGCCUUAUCACAUAUAUACAUUUUCACGUAUACACACUGUCUUGGCUGAAUCUACAUCUAUCAUUUUCCAAUAUCACAAUUUAGAAUUCACGUAUGGGUUUAAUCAAUAGCUUAUGAGCAACUAAAACAAGUUUAUCAAGGUUUACAACACAAUCUCAAAUUCAGCACAAGCUGUUUUUCCUGAGCAAUAGUCACUAAAUUAUUUAUAACUGGAGCUACAAAACUCCAAAUCACUUUCCGUUAAUUUUUCCUGAAUAUAGACUCGUAUAUCUUCCAUCCAUAAAAUUUCCAGAAUUUUAGGUUUGGCCAAUAAAUACCAGAUUUUUCUUAAAUUUUCCCCUGUUUCACUGUUUGACUAAUCUGACCACUCUUCACUACGAAUCAAAUUUCUCAUUUUACAGAAUUCAAAAUGUGUUUUAUUUGAUUUCAUUUGAAACUAGAUUCAUUAAGGAGUCUAAGCAUAUAAAUUUUAUCUUAUAACCAUUUUUGUACAAUUUAUAAUGAUUUUCUAAAAACAGAACAGAGGAUUACAGUGUCAUUCUGCGCUGUCUCACACAACUUUAAGUAUCUCAUUAUCGGAAAUUGCUUUGCUUACACGGUUUCUUUUAUAAGAAACUAGACUAAUUAAGCUUUAAUUUCAUGUCUCAUUAAGCCUCUAAUUCAAAUCCAUAAAUUUAUGGUGAUUUUCUAAAGUCACGUUACUACUGCUGUCCUAAGCAGACUAUUUCAAAUUUCCCUUAAAUUCCCAAGCUCAAACACUUAAGAACUUACCAUUUGAGCUUAGAACAUAUCAUGGCCACAUCAUAUCUUAUUAAAUCAACUCAUCAUGUCCUAUUAUAAUUGAAUUUACUCAACGUUUAAUCACUUAAAACUUACCUCGGAUGUGGUCGAACGAUUUCGGCGGCUAUUCGAUCACUUUUUUUCCUUCCCUUUAUCGGAUUUAGUUCCCCUUUGCUCUUGAGCUUAAUUUAACAAAUAAAUUGAUUUAAUCAUUUGAACAUCGAAAAGAGAAAAUCAAGGUACUUAACCCAUAUAUAUAUACAUUAGACAUUAAAGUCACAUACAUAUGAAAUCAUGAAUCAACUCAACAUAUUAACCCACACUCUCUUUUAGCCGAUUGUCUAAGCCAAGAUUAAGCCACCAAUAUGCUUACUUAUGGCCGAACAUACACAUCAACUUAUGUACUCAUUCAUGUGGCCGAACAUACAUGUCUAUGUUGAGGCCGAUUGCUACACUUAAUACAUUCUACAAGUAUGGUCACUUGUAUUGACUAAACACCAUUUUGUUUCAAGUUCAAAACUUGGCCAAUACACAUAUAUACACUAGUAAAGCAUCCUCCCCCUUUCCAUCAAUUCAACACAUGCAUUACUCAUUAAUAUACAAAAUUAUAUUCGGCCUUAGCACACAACUUGCUAGCCGAUUCUUCUCCAUCUAGCAACUAAUGCACAUAUGUGCUUAUUUGUUAGACUCUACUUCAUCUAACAACAACCAUAUUUUCCCUUCUACUUCCUGCCAUGGCCGGAUGCUCAAGAUACCUCAAUAUCGAAACUUUUAGCUUGGAUUGCUUAAAGAACUUGGUGAUGAGUUCAAAUUUACCUAACACCUCAAGCCUCAUAACACAUCUAUAUAGCUAACAUGCUAAUAGUCUCAAGGCUUCAACUAAAACUUUUGAAGCCUCUUAGUCGAAUACUAACUCUCUAAUAAUCCCAAAUCCAUCCAUGAGAUAGUUAGAAUUUAGACUAAUCAUCCAAGGGAUGUAUGAACUUUCAAAGCAACACUAAACAUACCUUAAUCUAGUGAGCCUUCAUAGCCGAUUUUUCUCCAAGCUCAUUCCCUUCCUUUCUUUCUUCUAUUCGGCCAAAGAUGUUCAAGGAUGAACACUUUUUUUUUCUUUGUUUCAUUUCUUCCAUUCACGGCAAAGGGGGGGCAUGGAUGAGACCAUUUUUUUUUCAUCACUCCACCUUUUUGCAUUACUUUAAUGCUAACCCCUUUUUUUUAUUCUUUCUAACCACUAUGCUUUAAUUUUGGGUAAUUUGACAUGCAAACCCAUCAUUUCACAACAUGCAUUAUUAGGCCACUUUACAUUUGCCUAGCACAUUUCCAAAUUUUCUCACAUAAGUCCUAUUUGAUAAAAUUCACUUACUAUUAACAAAAUUCAAACAUGAAAUUUUCACACAUGCAUAUGUACAUAUAAUGAGCAUCAACUAUGACGGUUAAUUAUCUUUAUGACUCGGUUUAGUGGUCUCGAAACCACUUUCCGACUAGGGUCACUUUAGGGGUGUCACAGUAUCUAAAGAAUGGUGAAGAAGCUGAUAGCUUAUCAUCUUUCUUUCCACUACCUAUUAUAUAUCUACUUUAAUUAACUUAAAUUAAUCUUACUUAUUUAAUAUAAUUAUAAUUAUAACCUCCAAAACCCGGCCUAGAUGUUAUGGCUAAAUUGAGAAGGCUACUUUAGGCACCGAAAUGGCUAAGCUAACUUACGUUACUUUUGAAGACCUUAAAUAAACUCAUUUUAGAGAAAAUUGUAUUUGUACUUUGAGUUAGCUUAAAAGCAUUCAUUCAUUAGGUCGUGUAUACUUAAGAUUCAUUUUAUUGUCGAUAGUGUUGUUUUAGAAAAACUGUUUGCUUGUCGCUUGUAACACCCCAAACCCAGCCUAGACGUUAAGGCUGUAUCUGGCAAUGUCACACGAUAGUGUUUUUGAAACCUCAUUGUUACGUUGAAAACAUUCUAUGUUAUUAUCUUUAGUAAACCUUUGUUAGAACUUAGGAAGUCCUCUUUAUUCAUUUAAAACAUUUGUUUUGAAAAAUCCCUCAUUGCGAAAGCUUUAAUAAAACAGUUUAAGUGAUCAUGUGUUUAGAAACUACUUUAGCUUUUUGAAAAUCGAAUUUCCUACGACCAGCAGGUAUAAAUCCAUAAAAUAAAUAAAUAAAUAAAUACCCAAAAUUUAAAACCAAAGUCCCAGAGGGUCCUUAAUAAUCAAUAAUAAUUAAAUCAUAAAACGUAAAUUGAAAACCAUGAAGUCCAAAAAUUUCUGUGGUCUGCGCUGAGUCCUCCGUCGCACCCAUCCAUCUAAGUCUGGAGAUUACCUAUGCACAUUAAAAAAAGGGUGAGUUUACGUAAACUCAGUGUGUAAUCCCGUAGAAACAAACAAACAAUUAGUAUUCACAGUGCACGGUUUGGGCCUAAGCCUUUUUAGUAUUAGUGACAGUUUGGGCCUUAGCCCAUCUCAGUACAAUGUCAAAAAUGCAGUAGGGCCUUAGCCCAUCACAGUAUCAGUAGCAGUAACAGUUAUGCAAUAGAAAAAUCCUACCCAUCCAGCCUCUACACACCAUCUCCAUCCAACCCUACACUCCAUGUGGGGAUAUAAUCAAUCCACCCAUCCCUACACUCCAAGUAGUACCGAAUGCGGCCAAAAAUAGUAGUUUGCAGCUGAGUUGCCAGUAAAUUAGGCUUAUAGCCUUUCAGUACACUUCCUCCAAAUAACAACCCCCAACCCAAAGCAAUGCAACAUACAAUGGAUGAUAUGCUAUUAUGCAAUUUCAGUACAUAUAUUUGGUUCAGAUAUUAACAUGCUCAGUACAGAUAUCAUUCAGUCAAUUCCACAUAUUUAGAGGUUUAAAUAGCGCUUACCGACCUUACAGUAGGUUCACAGUUGACUUAGGCGACCCGUGCAACCUUAGAAACAUUCCGGUAAAAAUAGGCCCACACACUCGUGUGUGCCCCUAUGGCCCACUCGACCCAAAUUGCCAUUGGUCGUGUGAUCCAUUUUUAAUGUAACCCAUGCUAGCUAAAUAUUCAUAUAUUUUUUCACUAUUUACUUAUAUGUUCAUUCAAAGUUGUCUACUUGAGUCAUUGUCCCCAAAUUAUUUAUAUCUUGAGCUACAGAAUUCCAAAUUAAGAUCUGCUUGUUGUUUUCGAAACUAGACUCAAAUACCUUUCUACCAUAAAAUUUUCAGAUUUUAUAGUUUAUCAAAUAAGUACUGUAAAAUCUUCAAAUCAAUCCCAAUUCUGCUGUUUGACAGCUUCAACCUUUCUUUACUAAAAAUUAUACAUCUCUUACUACGGAAUUCGGAUGAUAUUUCUGUUUGUUUCUCUUGAAAAUAAACUUGUUAAGUAUUUACAUAUAAAUUUAAUCCCCUAAUUAUUUUUUUUACAAUUUUCAAUGAUUUUUCCAAAGUCAGAACAGGGGAACCCAAACCCAUUCUGACCUUAUCUCACAAAAUUCAUUAUAUCUCAUAACUUACAAUUUCAUUGCUUACACUAUUUCUUCCAUGAAAAACUAGACUCAAUAAAAUUUAAUUUCGUAUUUUAUUCAACCUCUAAAUCAAUUUCCACCAUUUUUGAUGAUUUUUCAAAGUUAGACUACUGCUGCUGCCCAAAACUAUUUUAGUGCAGAAUGUUGAUUUCCAAGUUUAUAACACCCUUAUUUCCUUUCUCUACAAUGUUUCGCAUCAUUUUCUCUUAUUUCUCUUAUUUCUCGAUAGCAAGCAAUUUUGAAUUUUUACUAAAUCUCAUUUUCUGCGUUUUGGGUACACACCUGAUAUCGUUUCUGAUGCAUAAGCACUCCUAAGCCUCCAGAACUUCAAAAUCAACCAACAAACCUCCAGAUUAAUCACUUAAUUCGUUUUUAAUCAACCUCCAGACUAAAAAACUAACAAAACCCUUACCUCGCUCGAGUAACCAUGAUUUCGUCCAAUCACAGUGUCAAUUCAAAACCACCAGCCCCUUGAUUAACUCCUAAACACCAAAAAGGAAUCUCCCUUUCAGAGAUUAACCAAGAACGAUUAACAAUAGACAAAAUUGUUACUUACCAAACACACGCAACCAACGAUGAAUAACCAAAUCAAUUGGUAAAUAAAGAAAGAAACCGAAGGGAAAAAAUAAUGGAAAUUUUGGCAGUAACUAGGGAAAAGAAUCAGCAGAGGAGGGAAAAAAGGAAGAAAACGUUAGAAAAAGUUUGGGUAAUUGGAGAGAAAAUCGAAACUUUACUUUUUUUUUACAACAAAAAGAUAAUCAGAUUAUUUUCUGAUAACCUCUCCCCUAUUAUCUCCUAAAAUCACUCCCUAUUAACCCACUAAAACGCAACUACUCAGAAUUUUGCUCCAACACAACUCUUAGCCGAAAUUGGUGCAAAAAUACUGUCUCCACGCCAUCAUAGAGAAUUGAACUCAAGACCUCCUUCAUACCAACACUCCACUUAUCCACCAAACCAGCAGGCCCAUUCUGUUAAUUAUUUUCCAACUUUUACUUAAAAGCCUAUUGACCAAAGAUAGGCCUUAUUCAUAAAAAUACCAAAAUUUUCCCCAAGUCCUGGCUUGAACUUGGGACCUCUCACACACCCAGAACACUUAACCACAGAAGCAGAUAUACAGUUGUGUCACACCUUCGCAAGAACAAACAUAAAAAUUUUGGGGCAUUACAACUCUACCCCCUAAAAGAAAUUAUUGGCCUCAAAAUUAACAUAAUCAAAACAAAUAAGGAUACUGCUGACGCAUCGCAUCCUCAGGCUCCCACGUGGCCUCCCCAGUGCUAUGAUUACGCCAUAGAACCUUCACCAAAAGAAUAGACUUCCUUCUCAGAACCUUGGCGUCACGAUCUAGAAUCUAGACAGACUCCUCUUCAAAGGUCAAGUUUGGCCUAACCUCAAUCUCCUCAAUAGGGACAAUAUGAGUAGGAUCAGAGCGGUAAUGCCUCAAAACAGAGACAUGAAACACAUCAUGGAUAUGAUACAACGUCGGAGGUAGCUCCAACUGAUAAGCAAUUGGUCUCACUCGCUUCAGAAUACGGUAAGGUCCAAUAAACCUAAGGCUCAACUUACCCUUACAACCAAACCUCAGUACCUUCUUCCAUCGUGAGACCUUGAGAAAAAUGAAUCCCUCACAAAAUACUCGAUCUCACGCCUCUUCAAAUUCACAUAAGAUUUUUGCCUGUCAGAAGCCGCUUUCAAAUUAUCCUGAAUCAAUCUAAUCUUAUCCUCUGUCUUAGAGACCAAUUCAAGACCCAAAACACGUCGCUCGCCCAACUCAGUCUAACAUAAAGGAGUGUGACACUUACGACCGUACAGUGUCUCGUUAGGUGCCAUUUGGAUGCUAGACUGGAAGCUAUUAUUAUAGGCAAACUCCGCUAACAGUAGAUAAUCCUCCCAACUGCCUCAGAAAUUAAUAACACAACUCCUCAACAUAUCCUCUAGUACCUAAAUCACCCUCUCUAACUGACGAUCGGUCUGAGGAUGGAACGUAUUACUCAAGUCCAAACUUGAACCCAGACUCUCAUGCACCUUUUUUCCAAAAUCGAGAUGUGAAAUGAAGAUCCCUAUCAGAGAUGAUCGAAACUGAUACCCCAUGCAGUCUCACUAUCUCAGAAAUAUAGAGCUUAGCUUCUGCAAAAAAUAAUUCGUCCUAACUGAGAUGAAGUGUGCAGACUUAGCCAACCGAUCCACGAUGACCCACACUGAAUCUUUAUUAGUGGGUGUUAAAGGCAACCCACUAACGACAUCCAUCGUUACUCACUCCCACUUCCAUAGCGGAAUCUUAAUCGGCUGCAGUAAUCCCGAAGGCAACUAAUGCUCAGCCUUAACCUGCUGGCAAGUCAGGCAUCUAGCCACAAAAUCCGUAACCUCUCGCUUCAACCCUGGCCACCAAUACAACUCUCGAAGAUCUUGAUACAUCUUAUUUCUGCUAGGGUGCAUAGCAUAAGGGCUGCUAUGCGCCUCUCUCAAAACAGACUGCCUCAAGUCUGAAUCAUUCGGCACACAUAACCGGCCCCGGAAACACAACACACCCUCAGAGUUCAACCCAAAGUCCGUAGUGUUACCACUCUUAAUCUCUUAGAAUCGAAGACCCAAAGACUCAUCCUCCAGCUAUCUACCCUUAAUCUACUCGAUCCAAGUUGGCUUAACUUGAAGCUCAGCCAACAAACUCCCAUCGUCGAACAAGCUAAGUCGAACGAACAUCGCUCUCAGAUCAGUCAUAGCCCUAUGGCUCAAUGCAUCAGCCACCACAUUGGCCUUGCCAGGAUGGUACUCAAUGGUACAGUCGUAAUCCUUAAGUAGCUAAACCCAUCUUCAGUGCCUUAGAUUCAGCUCCUUCUGAGUAAGGAGAUACUUGAGGCUUUUGUGAUCAAUGUAGAUGAUACACUUCUCACCAUAGAGAUAAUGCCUCCAAAUAUUUAAUGCAAAGACUACGGCAGCCAACUCCAAAUCGUGCGUCGGAUAGUUCACCUCGUGUGUCUUAAGAUGACGAGAUGCAUAUGCAACAACCUUACCAUCCUACAUAAGCACACAUCCCAAAUCGACAUGUGAUGCAUCACUACAAACCGUGAACUCCUUUCCAGGUUCAGGUUGUACCAAAACAGGAGCCUCAGUCAAUACAGUCUUAAGCUUCUCAAAGUUCUAUUAAUGCGUAUUAUUCCAGUCAAAUGGUACACCUUUACGUAGCAGCUUAGUCAAGGGUGCUACGAUCAUUGACAAUCCUUCCACAAACCGUCGGUAAUAACCUGCCAGCCCCAAAAAGCUACGGAUCUCAAACACAUUCUUAGGCUGCUUCUAAUCCAAUACAACCUCAAUUUUUUAAGAAUUGACUCUAAUCCCCUCAGCAAACACCACAUGACCCAAAAAUGUUACUUCACGUAACCAGAACUCGCACUUGUUGAACUUAGCAUAGAGCUCAUUUUUCCUCAAAAACUGAAGAACAAUCCUAAGGUGCUCAUCAUGCUCAUCCUCAGUUCUCGAAUAAACCAAUAUGUCAUCGAUGAAAGCCACUACAAACCAAUCCAGGUAGGGCUGAAACACUCGAUUCAUCAGAUCCAUAAAAGCUAUCGGUGCAUUAGAUAGUUCAAAUGGCAUCACUAGGAACUCGUAGUGACCAUAACGAGUCCUAAAUGUCGUCUUAUGCACAUCAACCUCCUUAACCCUCAACUAAUGAUACCCAAAACACAAGUCAAUUUUGGAGAACACAGACGUCCCUCGGAACUAGUCAAACAAAUCAUCAAUCCUCAAAAAUGGAUACUUUUUCUUAAUAGUCAACUUAUUUAGUUGUCGGUAGUCAAUACACAUCCUUGUGGAUCCAUCAUUUUCUUUUACAAAUAGUACCGGUGCUCCCUACGGGGAUACACUAGGGUGGAUAAACCCACGAUCCAAUAACUCCUAAAUUUGAGCCUUAAGCUCCGUAAGCUCCUUCGGUGCCAUUCAAUAGGGAGCGAUAGACACCGGAGCUAUACCAGGGAAAAGCUCAAUCCCAAAAUCCACUUCUUGAUUCGGAGGUAACCCCGGUAGCUCCUUAGAAAAGACAUCCAUAAAUGCCUCAUAGUUUUGAUGUCCUUUACAGUAGAAUCCUCAGAAGCGAAAACACUUACGUAGGCCAAAUACGCCUCACAUCCCUUGCGAACCAGUUUCUCAGCUACCAGUGGAGAGAUCACGUUAGCCAAGUAAUUUCGGCGUUCCCCAAUCACAACUACUUCAUUACCCUCUUCAGUUCUCAAUACGACCAUCUUAGUCGCACAGUCCAAACUGACACGAUGCUUGACCAACCAGUCCAUCCCUAAUAUCAUAUCGAACUCCCCAAAUGGAAGCUCUAUCAAAUUAGCCAGAAAUACCGUCCCUUGAACCUCUAAAGGAACAUCCCUAUACAAUUUUCUAACUCUAACAGAUUGCCCCAGCGGGCUCAACACAAUCACCUCACUAGAAGUACUCUCAACCAAAAUCCCUAGGUUUUUGGAAACAGAACAGGAAACAUAGGAAUGCAUAGAUCCUAUAUCUAUUAAUACAGUGUAAGGCACAUAAUAAAUAAGAAACAUACCCGUGAUGACAUCCGGAGCAUCUAUGUCCUCUUUGCGACGUGCAGCAUAAACUAAAGCAUGCUACCUCGCAGUAGUCUGUCCAACACCUCUGUCCGGUGCUUUCAGUCCAUAACUCAUGCCAUUACCACCCCUAGCCUGACCACAGCCUAUAGGUGGCUAUUGUGCUACCCUCUAUGGUUGUGUAGUACUAGUACCCUAAGCUUGCAUCUAAUUGGCCCUCAACGGACACUCUGUAAUGCAAUGGUCCAAUGAUCCACACUUCAGACAUGCCCCAGUCCUUCUCCAACACUCGCCUUGAUGGCGUCUACCAUAGUCAACACAUGGCUACAAUCCAGUAGCAGUAACAAGGGGCCUAACUCUCACUGGCCCAUCAGCUCUAGCCUUUUUCUUAGGCCUCUGCAUAGAACUCGAGGGCUCCAAAUCCCUCUUGAUCCUACCUCUCUCUCUAUUUCAAUUUUGGCACUCAGCGCGCUUAACCUCUUCGGUGAUAUUUACCUUCUCCACUAGUGAAGAAAAAUCACACUCCCUCUGUAGAGUUAUCAUGACUCUCAAAUUAUCUCUAAGGCCAUCCUCAAAGCGGACACAAUGCUCAUACUCAUUUGCUACCAUACCUCACACAUAACGGCUCAGUUGCAGGAAUUCGACCUCAUACUCGGCCACUGAUCGAUCUCCUUGUGUUAGGUUCAGGAAAUCCCUCCUACAGGCGUCCACAUAACUAACUCCCACAUACUUCCCCUGGAAGGCGGUCUUAAAGAACUCCCAAGUCAGACGUUCGAGCUGAGUGCCCUCCUUCACAGUAAGCCACCACUGAUAAGCCUCAUCACGCAGCAGCAAGACUGCACCCUUUAAUUUCUACUCUGAAGUGUAAUCCAGGUAAUCCAUGAUCCUAUCCUUGGCCUCAAUCCAGUACUCGACCAUAUUAGGGGCGACCCCAAUGACACCCCUUAAGAGCUCAGCUCCAUUGAACCUGAGUCAUUCCGUAAUAGACCCACAGCCUCCAGAUCCAGUAUUAGGCCCAACGACCCUCUCUAAUAUCCUCAACAUAGCCUGGGAAAAUGCGUCAUCCCCAGCCAUGUGAUCAUGAGACCCAGUCUCAGUAGCAGGCGACACUGGCAUCUCACUUGUGUCUAAAUUUGGUAUGUUACCCAGGGAAGAGGACUCAGAUCGAACCCCCUUACGGCCUCUACCACAGCCUUAAGUACCACGUCCACGAAUACCUCGUGCGCUUAUGUCUAUUCAUAUUUAUCUGAAUUACGAAUUUGUAUGCAUCAGUUUCAGUAUUUACUAGCAGAUGUUUUAUGUUAACAGUUUAAGUAAUUCAAAGUGAUUUUCGUAAAUCGCAGUCUCUAUCAGUUUUGCUACAGUCUCAAUAUACACUAUCUAGAGUAUUUUCACAGUAUACUACCUACAGUAAUUUUAGAAUAUCAUAACAUAUAUUAGUUUCAGAAUAUCAUAGCAUGUAUCAGUUUCAGAACACUUACAGGAUCGGUGCCGGAGACUUCGUACACCACAUACCCAGUAGAAAUAUUUCACAUUAUUUAAAAACCAAUUUUUCAAAGACUAAAUUUAAAACCCAUAAUCCACAGUCGAGUUUUGCAACCUGACUCUGAUACCACUAAAUGUAACACUCCAAACCCAGCCUAGACGUUAUGGCGUUAUCUGGCAAUGUCACAUGAUAGUGUUUUUUGAAACCUCCUUGUUAGGUUGAAAAUAUUCCAUGUUAUUAUCUUUAGUAAACCUUUGUUACAACUUAUGAAGUCGUCUUUAUUCAUUUAAAACAGUUGUUUUGAAACAUCCCUUGUUGUGAAAGCUUUAAUAAAAUAGUCUAAGUGAUCAUGCGUUUAGAAACUACUUUAACUUUUUGAAAAUUGAAUUUCCUACGACCAGCAGGUAUAAAUCCAUAAAAUAAAAUAAAAUAAAUAAAUACCCAAAAUUUAAAACCACAGUCCCAGAGGGUCCUUAAUAAUCAAUAAUAAUUAAAUCAUAAAACGUAAAUUGAAAACCAUGAAGUCCAAAAAUUUAUGAGGUCACUACGGAGUCCUCCAUCUCACCGAUCCAUCUAAGUCUGGGGAUUACCUGUGCACAUUAAAAAAAAGGGUGAGUUUACGUAAACUCAGCGUGUAAUCCGCAGAAACAAACAAACAAUCAAUAUUCACAGUGCACAGUUGAACAAUCUUGGGCCUAAGCUUUUUUCAGUAUCAGUGACAGUUUGGGCCUUAGCCCAUCUCAGUACAGUGUCAAAAAUGCAGUAGGGCCUUAGCCCAUCACAGUAUCAGUAGCAGUAACAGUUAUGCAGUAGCAAAAUCCUACCCAUCCAGCCUCUACACACCAUCUCCGUCCAACCCUACACUCCAUGUAGGGAUAUAAUCAACCCACCCAUCCCUACACUUCAAGUAGUACCGAAUGCGGCACAAAAUAGUAUUUUGCAGCUGAGCUGCCAGUAAAUUAGGCUUAAAGUCUUUCAGUACACUUCCUCCGAAUAACAACCCCCAACCCAAAGCAAUGCAACAUACAAUGGAUGAUAUGCUAUUAUGUAAUUUCAGUACAUAUAUUCGGUUCAGAUAUUAACAUGCUCAGUACAGAUAUCAUUCAGUCAAUUUCACAUAUUUAGAGGUUUAAGUAGCGCUUACCGACCUUACAGUAGGUUCACAGUCGACUUAGGCAACCCGUGCAACCUUAGAAACAUUCCGGUAAAAAUAGGCCCACACGCCCGUGUGGCCUACUCGACCCAAAUUGGCAUUGGUCGUGUGAUCCAUUUUUAAUGUAACCCAUGCUAGCUAAAUAUCCAUAUAUGUUAUCACUAUUUAAUUAUAUGUUCAUUCAAAGUUGUCUACUUGAGUCAUUGUCCCCAAAUUAUUUAUAUCUUGAGCUACAGAAUUCCAAAUUAAGAUAUGCUUGUUGUUUUCGAAACUAGACUCAAAUACCUUUCUACCAUAAAAUUUUCAUAUUUUAUAGUUUAUCAAAUAAGUACAGUAAAAUCUUCAAAUCUAUCUUGAUUCUACUGUUUGACAGCUUCAACCUUUCCUUACUAAAAAUUAUUUAUCUCUUAGUACGGAAUUCAGAUGAUGUUUUCGUUUGUUUCUCUUGAAAAUAGACUCGCUAAGUAUUUAAAUAUAUGAAUUUAAGCCCUUAAUUAUUUUUUUUACAAUUUUCGAUGAUUUUUCCAAUGUCAGAACAGGGGAACCUGAACCCAUUCUGACCUUAUCUCACAAAAUUCAUUAUAUCUCAUAACUUACAAUUUCAUUGCUUACACUGUUUCUUCCAUGAAAAACUAGACUUAAUAAAAUUUAAUUUCGUAUUUUAUUCAACCUCUAACUUAAUUUCUACUAUUUUUUUUUCAAAGUUAGACUACUGCUACUGUCCAAAACUAUUUUAGUGCAGAAUGUUGAUUUCCAAGUUUAUAACACCCUUAUUUCCUUUUCUGUACAAUUUUUCGCAUCAUUUUCUCUUAUUUCUCUUAUUUCUCAACAGCAAGCAAUUUUGGAUUUUCACUAAAUCCCAUUUUCUGCGUUUCGGGUACACACCUGGUAUCGUUUCUGAUGCUAAGCACUCUUAAGCCUCCAGAACCUAAAAAUUGACCAAAAAAUCUCCAGAUUAAUCACUUAAUUCGUUUUUAAUCAACCAAUUUUGGAAGGAACUCAACUAAAAACCUAACAAAACCCUUACCUCGCUUGAGUAACCACAAAUUUGCACAAUCACAGUGUCGAUUCAAAACCACCAGCCCCUUGAUUAACUCCUAAACACCAAAAAGGAAUCCCCUUUUCAGAGAUUAACCAAAAACAAUUAACAAUAGACAAAAUCAUUACUUACCGAACACACAUAACCAACGAUGAACAACCAAAUCAAUUGGAAAAUAAAGAAAGAAACGGAAGGGGGAAAAUGGAAAUUUCAACAACAACUAGGAGAAACAAUCGGCAGAUGAGGGAAAAAAAGAAGAAAAUGUCAGAAAAAGUUUAGGUAAUUGGAGAGAAAACCAAAACUUUACUUUUUUUCUGCAACAGAAAGAUAAUUAGAUUAUUUUCUGAUAACCUCUCCCCCAUUAUCUCCUAAAAUCACUCCCUAUUAACCCACUAAAACACAACUACUCAGAAUUUUGCCCCAACACAACUCGUAGCUGAAAUUGGAGCAAAAAUAUUGUCUCCACACCAUCACAGAGAAUUGAACACAAAAUCUCCUUCACACCAACACUCCACUUAUCCACCAAACCAGCAGGCUCAUUUUGUUAAUUAUUUUCCAACUUUUACUUAAAAGCCUACUGACCAAAGAUAGGGCUUAUUCAUAAAAACACAAAAAUUUGCCCAAGUCCUGGCUUGAACUAGGAACCUCUCACACACCCAGAACACUUAACCACUGAAGCAGAUACAUAGUUGUGUCACACCUUCGCAAGAACAAACAUAAAAAUUCUGGGGCGUUACGUCGCUCCUCUUUAAAAAAAAUGAAGUUAAACUAAUGCAGUGGAAAAACUAUUUUUCAAGUCAUUUUGGAAAAUUAGUUGCCUUAUCGAUUUGUUUUUUAAAAAUAGUUCCUUUGCAAUGUAGUGGAAACUAGGGAACAAUACCAAAUUUUACUUAAGCCUGAUAUUAUGCAUUAUUCGGUUAUUAUGCUUGAGUAAUUCAUGUAUGUAAAAAUCCCCAAAAGAAAAGUUGCCAAGCCACAGACCAGAAAUAAUUAAAAAUUACAAGCCAAAACCAAUAAAGACUUAGUAAUACUGAAUAAAAUAAUAAUAAUCUGAGUUCCAAGUUGAUUCUCUGAAUGUCGAGCUCGGUCCUAAUUUUGAAGUUUACUUGAAAAGUUAAACACUAUUGGGGGUGAGCUUAUGAAAAGCUUAGUGUGAGUUGAAUAAUUAUUUAAACGGGCAAAAACAUCAAAUACAGUGAAACAUAUUAGUAUUAAUAGAAGAAAACAGAACCAUCAUAGAAAUUUCAUGUCAUUACAUAACCAUUAUCAAGUUGAUGUCAAACGGUGUAUGAGCAUAGGUCAUCAUUCUUCAAGUAACAAUCAUUAAUUUUGAUACCAUUUAAUACAACAAAAUAUAAUGCGUAGCAUAAAUCAAUAACAUUCGAAUAUGUCGUGAACAUGAUGCAAUGCAAAAAGGUUCCUACCCAUACCAUCCGCUACACACCACGAGUUGCUAAGAACCCGCCUGCCAAACUCCAAAAAAUUAUGAGCAUAGCUCGAUGUGGUAAAACCACCGAAUAAUCAAUAAUGCAGAAAAUUUGUCGGAUAUCAAAUAGUGCAAUACAAUCGCCAAUAACAUAUAAUAUGCGAUAAAAUCGCCAAUCCCUCGGUACUCCAGGUGCAGUGCACUGACUACGAAUAAUGUGGACUUAAUAUGCCGCCGGUACUCCACGGAACUCCUCCAUCAACCACAAAAUCCCAACCCAAUGCAUAUGCAAUAUGUCACACAAUCUCAUACAUAAUCAUAUCUCAAUACUUUUCACAUUCAUUUGACUGGCUCAACAUGUCCUCAAUAAUCACAUACUUUCAGUAAAUGGAAACAGUGUUCCAAUCUUUCAAAUUACCAUUAUGUUGGUAUCAAUCAAUAUCGUUCAAUUUCACAUACUUUACAGAUUUUCAUUGUGCAUUAAUAACACCCUUUUUCAGUAAACAAUAUAACAAAUAUCUCAUGCGUUUAAAUCAUACAUAAGCUUAAUAUCUCAGCAUAUUAUAUCAUUCAGUCAAACAUUCUCAUAUCUCAUAACUCAAAUAUGCAAUUACAAACUCAAUCAAACAUUCAUACUAUCAAACUAGGUUUUUUGCCAACAUGUCAAUCUUUUAAGGCUCGAAACAUACCUGGUUUGGCCACUCACAAAAUCAAUGCUUUAGGACCCACACCUUAUUUUUAAUAAGUCAAUCCAAUCAGCAAACUAAUUUAUCAAAUAUAACAUGAUAUUUAAUAUUUUCAAACAAUUUUAUGAGUUUAGGACCCACACCUUAUUUUUCGCUUUCUCGCAGCACACUAGCGAAUCUUCCAAAUUUCCUUAAUAAUUCCUUAAACGAACCUAAACCAAAAUUUAGUAUAAAUUCAAUCAAUUUAUCAUUAAACCAGCCCCCAAACACCCACUUAUGAAUUCAAACCAAUCGUUGAAAUUAUAACUAUUUUAUGAAUCCAAACUAGUUAGAUUCCUUACACUAUAUCGAUGCAAAUCGUACGUACAAUCGUUCUUCGCCUUUACAGAUAAUUUGGGGCAUUUGGAUCAGAACAUAAUUAAAUAAUAUACUAGAAAAUCAGUAGUUAAUUAAUGAUUAAGUUCCUUCAUUUAAUCAAUUCAUAACCUUUACCCAACAACUAUGUCGAAAUAACAAACUAGUUAUCCUUACUUGCACUUACGCUUCACGAUUUGUAGGAUCCGAUUGGCUAAUUGAUCAAGAACGUCUCUCCCUAAUUAACAUGGGUUUAAAAGCUAAUUAGGAGGGUUCAAGAACUCAAAUUAAGGCUGGAAUUAAUUGGGCAAGAUUCAAGAAACAAAUAGCCCCCUUUCUUGCACAUAGGCGCACGCACCACCACCUAUGGUGGCCAAAAUUGGGGCUAAAUUUUAAAACGAUUUGAGAUCUCAUUAAAUUCUGGAAAAAUACAUUUAAAAUAUAUUAAAAUCCCCCAAAUUCCAGAUCUAGAAAUUUAUAUUUUUAAUGGAUAUUAUUAAUUAAGAAAUUAAAGAGAGAAGAGACCUUACCCAAGCUAGUCGAGAAAAAAGGCAAUGGCACUUUCUUGGCAACGUUCGGGAUCGAUCUUGGAGUUCAAGAUUUCAUAUUUAGGGCUGAUUUUAAUGAGGAAAAAUGGCAGCAAUAUGGUGGAGAAUAUGUUAACAAAUCUUGUGGCAAAAAAAAGAAAAAGAAAAGAAAGUGAUGGUAAAACUAGGUGUAAGCGACAACAACAAUGGAGGAAAGGAAAAAAAAUUAAAAUCAAAGAGAAGGAGAGGAGGAGAGGAAUGGCUAGGGCAAUGAGGAGGAGGAUUAUAGGUUGAUUAUUAGUGGAAAAUUAAUAUUUAUAACUAGGUUAACUAGGCUUGGAUGGCCCACACAUUAAAAUAAGAGGUUUUUGUCAAAAAAUUAAAUUAUUUACAUGGAAAGAGAGUUAAAGUUAGGACCUCAAGGAUAAAUUCACUACUUUUUAACCAUCAAACCAAUAACUCAUUCUUGAUAUAAUUUGAAAUAUUUAUUUUUAAAAACAAGACAUAUCACAUACUAAGGUUUAAGGCAAAAUUUGUAAAAUAAUAAAAAUGGUGAGAGAGAAGUAAUUAACUUGGGUUUCAAGGAACAUUUCACUAACACUUAACCAAAAAACCAAUACCUCAUUUAUUUCCUAAAAAUACAUAGAUAAAUUUCAAAAAUUAAGGCAUGAUCACUCUCUUGAUUCACAAACUCGAUUCUACUAACUCCUGAUUUUUGGGAUGUUACAAUCACCAUCCACUAUUCACUAUUUAAAAUUAGUUACACUACACCAAAACAGGCUUUUAGUGGUGUUUUUAGUGGCGUUUGGAUAAAAAAUGCCGCUAAAAAUCAAGCAUUACUGGCGUUUUUAAGAAAACGCCACUAAAGAUCGAGUAUUAGCAGCGAUUUUUGAAAAACGCCGCUAUAAAUGAGCUUUAGCGGCAUUUUUGAAGAGGUGCCACUAAUACUCGGGUCUUUAGCGGCGUUUUUGAAAAAGCGCCGCUAAUGCUCGGGUCUUUAGCGGCGUUUUUGAAGAAGCAACGCUAAUUCUCAAGUCUUUAGCGACUUUUUUAAAAAAGCGCCGCUAAUGCUCGCGUCUUUAGUGGCGUUUUUAAAGAAGCGCCGCUAAUUUUCGGGUCUUUAGCGACGUUUAUAGAAAAACGCCGUAAAAAAUAUUUUAUUAUUUAUUAUUUUUUCCCCCUUCUUUUCCCAAAAUCGAUUCCCCCCACUCUUUUUCCCCCCAAUUCUUUUCCCCUACCCCGAUUCCCUUUAUUUUUCCCUCUAAUUUCCCCAAAUCGGCAACCCUUUUAUUUUUCCCAAAUCAUUUCUCCCCCUACCCCAAUUCCCUUUAUUUUUCCCCCCAAUUUCCCCAAAUUGGCAGCCCUCUGCAUCUCCUCAUCUUCUUCCUCACAUUUCAUUCGUCCCAAAAAACAUUUCUAUUCCUCUUUUAUACAAACAGAAAACAAUGGCUACACCGUUGCUUCAUCUUCUUCCUUUACCAUGCUUCAUUUAGCUUCAUUGUUCUCCAUUUUCGUAUUAGUUAACGCAAGAAUCCUCGGUGUUUACACUGGUGGAUUCUGGGAAACUGCUCAUGUCACUUUCUAUGGCGGCAAUGAUGCUUCUGGCACAAUAGGUAAGUAAAUUUAUUUCAUUAAACAAAAAAACCCAUUUUUAUUCGCUGCUCAAAUUUCACUAUCUUUUCUAUUCAAAUUUUGGAGGAGUGCCCUCGUACUGGGACAAUGAUUGUUCACUGGACAAAAAAGGUAGGUGAGAUGAAUGGUUUGUAUAAUAUUUUUUACUGAUUUUUUUAGAGUACUAAGCUUUAAAGCAUUUAAGAUACCUUUUUAUUUUAAUAUUCCAUUGAUUUGCUAGAUAUUUUGGUUUUUACAAAAGAAUGUUAUGCACAUAUAUGAAAAGUCCUCAUCGACGUCAGUCAGUAUGGUAUCACAAUUGUUUUCAGAUACGAAAAAAGGCACAGUAUUAUCCCUAUAUCCCUCUGCUUUCGUGUUAAAGAAGGAGAUCACGUUAUAAUCGGACAAUGCAAGUUUGUUGUUUGAUUGCAUUUUAUCCCUUCUACAAUCAACUGAUUUGCAUGGAUGGAUGCCUCAAAGUCUUCACCAACAAGCUACUGUAGUUUAUUACGAAAUUUCAACAAUAAAUAAAUCAGAAUGGUUGGUCACGAAGAGUCUGCUAAUAGAUAGAUGACUUCAAUUCUGUCAAAGUAAACAAAAUGGAUAUAUAACAUAUAGCCUACCACAUUUCUUAAUUAAAUAUUUAGUAAAUAUUUUUGCAGUCAUCAACUUGGAACAAAUAGAUAGAAACCAGAUAUAAUUCACUGCCAUGAUUUUAGACAGCUUUUGUUGUAUGAGAUUUUGGCCUCAUGUUUCUUUCGGCAUUUGAUUUAAUAUUCUGUUGACUGGUGUGUUUCUGACUACAUUUUUAGGCACCACUUUAUUGGGACUUGUAUGCUCCAAAAGGUUUAAAUUCAGCUCGAAUAUGUUUUACAUGCCAUAACUUUGAGUACCAAGGGACUACAUCUGCUUCAGAAUUGGCAUCAUGUGUUCUGGAUGCCCAGGAGUUAAAUAGACCUGAUAGGAUGCAAGAUAACACAGCACAUGAUAGUGUCAAUCCUGUUAAAGUGCUGUAAUCACUGGUUUGGCUAUAAGCCUAUAACAAAUAGAGUUUCUUUCUGUUCUUUUUUGUAAGUUUCCUUCUUUUUAGGGUGCAAUUGUGUUCUCUAACAUAGUGACGACAGUAUCACCCACUUAUGCACAAGAAGUCUGAAUUGCUGAGGUAAGAAUAUUUUGUAGUUUUUCUUUCAAGAACAUGGUCUUCCUUUUAUAAUUUUAAGGUUGAACUACAAAAUCAUGUCCCUAACUUUUCCAGGGAGGAAAAGGCCUCCAUUCAACACUGAAUUCUCACUCAAGAAAGUUCAUGGGAAUCUUAAAUGGGAUCAAUACUGAUGCAUGGAAUCCUGCCAGUGAUAAUUUUCUCAAAGUGCAGUAUAGUGCUAAUGAUAUGCAAGGGAAAGCAGAAAAUAAAGCUGCAAUGAGAAGGGAUCUAGUGCUUUCAUCUGCUGAUGAUCAAUGGCCAGUGGUAAUUUUAUUUCUGAAGUCUUUAUUUGUUAUAUCAACAUUGCUAAGAUGUAUUAUAUAUUCUCUAUGAAAGCUUUUGAGUUACAAUGUAAGUUUAAGGUCACAUUUAGGUUCCAAUAACACAGCAUUAUAGGAGGUUCUUAUUAUUUCUUAGCUGAAUACUGCCUAGAUUCUUACUCGAAGUCUUUUACUAUUGAAUAGGUAGGCUGCAUAACAAGAUUGGUGCCACAGAAAGGUGUUCAUCUGAUUAAGCAUGCCAUAUAUCGAACAUUGGAGAUGGGCAAUCAGUUUGAACUUCUUGGUUCAUGUCCAGUUCCCCACAUUCAAGUGAAUCUCUACUGCUGUUUUCUCUGUGUGAACAACGAAUUUCUUUCUGCUUGCAUGAAUGAAAGCUAUAAAAACAAUAAAAACUCUAUUCAGGCAUAUCAUUCCAUGCGGAGUUAUUUGUUUUAUUUUAAGUUGAUACUUUUCCUGUUCCAUACUUAGUACAUUGAGAUUUUCCUUUGCGUUAUUAAAUACAUUUAAAAAUUUGAGAUAAUCAUAAAUUGUGUUAUUAAAAUGUGCGUAAACUCUUUAGUCAAAUACAUUUAAAAAUUAGAAUACCUUUUUUAUAAUUAUAAAAAUGUAAUUAUUUACUGUGUCCAAAUACGCCAAAUAGCAAGUAAUACUUUUCUUUGAUUAUUUAUAUUUACGCCAGAUAAGUUGGAGUGUGUUUCAGAUAAUUCAAAUGUCAAAUUCUUUAGGAUUGAUCUACAGAAUAGUUCUCAGGUCAGCCUUAUAUCCUGGAUUCCAAAAGUGUUAACGUGGAUUUUCUUUCUUGAUGUUAUACAUAUAUAUGUUAUUCAAUAAUUUUUUAAAGGACCUGGAUUUAUGGUAUAUCUUUCCCUUUCCACUAAUUUCUUCUACUUUAAUUGUUACUAUGAGUGUUGUAUGCAUAUGCUUUUUUUUUUCCGUCUUUCUUUAAUAGUUAGACUGAUUAUUGUUACUAUGAGUGUUAUAUCAAUUUUGAUACCCUUCUGUAUCAUGAAGUUUGUUAUCUGACAAAAGAGAUGAGAAUUUGGGAGUCAAGUUAUAAUUUAAUUUAUUAAUGAAAUCUUCAGUGCUCAAUUUAGGGAUUUAUUGAUGUUUUGCUUGUAUGAUUUUAUGAAUCUUGUGCACACAAGUUUCUUAUCUGAACAUAAGAGAUGAGGAUUUGGGAGUCGAGUAAUAAUUUCAUUUAUCAAAGAAAUAUCAAUUGAGCAUGUGCCAGUUUAUAAUUGUUGUAAUAUUUAUCAUUCAGCAGAUAUUUCCUUUAUUUUGUUUGAUUUUUUUUAUACUUUCCAAUUAUUUUCCCUUGGUUUAAGACUUUAAUUGGCGGCAUGAAUCUGUUAGCAUUAUACUUAAGCUUAAGUUAAUAAUGGCAUUUAUCAAAGAAAUGAUUCUUGGGAUAUAAAGCUGGAAUGACCCAUAUAGUGAGGGAGGUUGAAAAGCCUAGUUCAAGUAAUUUUUUCUCUUCUGACCCAUCAUCUGUAAAUUUUGGAAUACUGGAUAGUCUGUUGCUUAUCUGCUGCUAUAUGAAAUAAAACCAUGUGCCUUUUAUGUGCUUUCUUGCAUUGUUUACUUUCCUCCAUGGUUAGGUGGAUAGCAUAAUGUAUUUAUAUGUUCUUUUCUUCCAGAACUUCACAAGAAGGAGACAUGUGAAGCAGUUACUAUCAUUGAGACACCACCGAUGUAUUUCGGCUUCUUAACCUUAUAGCUCACCAUUUAACACUUGCUAAUAUGAUUUUCUUUUGAUGAUCGUCGUCUUAAUUUGUUUACUGCUUUUGUUCAUAAAUUUUAUCAUAUAUUAAGAUUCGCCUGUAUGCUUUAAAACAAUUCUAAGCUGGCUCCAGUUUAACUACUCUGAAAACACGGAGAGGAGCAACAGCAACAGAACCAAGUAGAUAUUUCUUUCAAUGGCUGGAAUUGCUACUACUUGUUAUUAUUUGACCCUCUCUUCUACAAGGUAAACUUCUUUUCUUCUCAAAUUUGCUUAAUUUCGAAACCUGAUAUUUGGGUCUAUUGUUUGGUUUCUGAGAAAAUUAGAAUGCUCCAAUAUUGAGCUUUAUUUUGAGUUUGGAUAUGCUUUAUUUUUGGUUUCUGAUAUUUGAGUUUGCUUUAUUUUGGGUCCAAAUCUAAAUUGUUACUCGUAUGUCAAGAGGGGCUGAGGUUAGUUCUUACCAUGCUCUAGAUAUGCUUGAUUUGCAAUCUGAUUUAUUAGUAUACAUCCGUAUCCGAUUCAUUCUAGAUCCGAUUAAAAGCUAUUCUGCAUUGAAUAUACUCAACUGAUGAAUGGUCUGAAUUUAUUUCGAUGCCCUUAUCUUCAUUUUAGCCUCAAUGUGAGUAAUCAUUGAUGGAACUGAACUUCUUUUUAAAAUGUGAAGGUCUACUGCUGUUGCCAAUAAAUUGGAGCAAGCUGGUUUCCAGAAUAUAGCUGGUGAACUAGCUUCUUCCAUGUCUUUAUUAAUUCUUGGUUUUGUUGAUUUCAUUUUUAAAUUAGUGGUGUUUUUCGAAAUCUGGGUUAAAUUAUUAAGUUCUAAAUUUUUUAACAAUAGGUUCUUUGUUUUCUUAAGCAGGGAUGAUGAAGAUGAUUCUGUUGCCAAGAUGAAGGCAGCUGAGGAAGCCUUGGAAACAAAACAAAAAGUAACAAAUAGCUUGUCUGCUACCUGUUCUUUUUUUUUAUAUAAUUUUGUGACAAAUUGUUCUUGGUACUCUAAAGAUAUUUAUGCAAUAUUAUCCUAUGAUUCUAUUGUAUUUAUAUUGCAUGGCUGCACCAUGUAUUUCUUAACUAGUUUGAUAAAUUUUAUGUGUGUGGUUUAAUUUUUUGUUUUGCUGUGUAACUUGCAGCAAAAACCUACAUUUGAGCUAUUUUUCUAUUGUUUAUUUUAGUUUUGAUUUUAAAUUUUUAUUUUUACUUUAAUAUUACGACAACUUGAGUUCUAACUUUUGAAUUUUAAUUGUGUUAUUAAUUUAUUAUUUUAAAUUCUAAAACUAAAUUCAUUAAUUUUUAUAUUUAAAUUUAAAGUUAAAAUUUUCAUAGAAAAUUUAAUUUAAAUAAUAUUUUUUAUUUAUCCUUAAAAAGUAUAUUUAAAGUUCAAAUUUAAAAAAUAAAACAUAAUAUAAUAUUUAUCAUAAAAAUAAAUAUUAUUUGAUUAAAAUAUUUUUUUUAAAGAUUAUGUUUUUAGCGGCGUUUUUGCUAGAAGCGCCGCUAAAGGUUUGUCUUUAGCGGCAUUUGUGAUAAAAGUGCCGCUAAAGGUUGUGGUAUUUAGCGGCGUUUGUGGGAAAAGCGCCGCUAAACGUCGUGGUCUUUAGCAGCGUUUGUGGGAAAAGCGCCGCUAAAGGUCUUGGUUUUUAGCGGCGUUUAUGGGGAAAUUGCCGCUAAAGGUCGUGGUCUUUAGCGGCGUUUGUGGGAAAAGCGCCGCUAAAGGUCUUGGUCUUUCGCGGCGUUUUUUCUAAAAACGCCGCUAAAGUUAGCAAUGCGUUCUUUAGAGGCGUUUUUUCUGGGGCUUCUCAAAGCGCCGCAAAUACUUUUAGCGGCGCUUUUUAGCACCACUAAAGUCCUAAAAAAGCGUCGCUAAAAGCCUAUUUUGGUGUAGUGUUAAUUAACUAUUUUGGUCCUUUGGAUAAUUGCUAUCUAAGUCCUCAAGCAUUUUCUUAAUUAAAACUUAAUAGCGAUUAGACUUUUACAAUUUACUCUCUGAGCUUUAAUUAACUAAUUUCUCGGUUAAAUUCUUAACUAAACUUUAUUAUAUUUUCAUAUUAAUUACAUAAAUAUUUUUAUUUUAUAUUUAUAGACUUGGUUCACGGCAAUGAGAUUUCGAAACCAUAUUGUUCGACACCACCAAAAUUCGAGUUGUUAUAAGAAUUUUAACUAUAAAAUAGGUUUUAGAACUUUAAAUCAAAUCAGAUUUUGAAUUUAUUUUAGAUUUUAAGUUUAACUAGACUCUAGACUUAAAUUAGUCUAACUAGAUUUGAGAUUUUAAAAAUUUAUCUUAGUCAUUUUUUAGUCAAAUUUUAGGCCUAUACUUUUCAGUUAGGAUUUAGAUUUAAAGUUUAUAUUUAUAGUCCAAUUAGAUUUUAAGUUUAUUCAGUUCAAAUUUGAUUUUUAGUUUAAACUGAAGUUUUAGAAUUAUGUUUCAUACUUUUAGAUUUUAAGUUUUAGAUUUAAAUUUUUUAGAUUUAGAUUUUAGGUAAAUUGAUUUUGCUAGGUUCUAAAAUUUAAGUUUUAAGUUAAAUUUUAAGUUUUUAUUAGCUUUUUUAAAAAUAUUUUUAGAUGCCUUGGUUCGUUUAGAAUUUAAUUAGAUUUUAAAAAUUUAGUUGGAUUGUUAUAUGUUUAUAGCUUAAUUAAAUUUCAAGUUUAUUUUUAUUAUUAGAUUUUUUUUAGUUCAAUUUAGGCCUUAAAUUAAGAUUUUUAAUUAAAAGGCUAGAUUUAAAUUAGAUUAGAUUCUAAAGUUUGAUAAAUAAGGUGCAAUUAGAUUUAGAUUUUUAUGUUUAAUUAGAUUUAAGUUUUAAACUUAGAUAUUUGAGUUUAACUAGAUUUUAGUAUUGUUUUAGAGUAGAUUGUUUAGAUUGGAGUGAAGGGUAGGAAUUUAUUUUUGGAAACCUUUUCUAUAUGUAACUGUACUUCCGAACUCAGAUUUGGUAACAAUAUCGAAUUGUAGUUUUAAGAUUAAUUCCUUAAAUUUAUCUUUGGAUUAGUCUUGAGACUUUAGUCGAUAAGUAGUUAAUCGACCUAGCUCACAUGGUUAGUGGCGACUCUACUCCAUUAGUUUUCUAUGUCUAGCGUGCUAGAUCCUAAGUCUAGCAUGUCAUCACAAUAUAAAUGCUUAGCAAAUUGUUCAAGUGAUUAUUUGAUAACUAAUAUUCAAGAUUGAAAUAUGUAGAUUUAGAGAAUGUAACACCCCAUACUCGGCCUAAACGUUAAGAUCAAGUCUUGAGGCUACAUUAAAACGUUUAAGGGGAACCAACCUUUAAGUAUUUUAAGAUUAGUCAUAUAGAAAACAUUUAACUAGUUAGACCACAUGAAAAUACGAACUUACAAACCGUAGUCUGAAAUAAAACAUACGUUAGCUCAAAUUUAAAACAAACAAUAAAAUAUCUAGAAAAGAGAGAUGAUCGAGCUCCUAACACGUCAAGCCUCCUAAGUUUGUGGGCUACCUACAAUUCUGUCAACAAAUAGAAUGAGUUUAUAACUCAAUGUGUGUAACCGAUAUAUAGGCAAGAAUAAUUGUCAGAUCAAUAUGCGAUAAAUCGCCAGAAUCAGAUACAGAAUUGUGGCUUAGCCACUCAAUUUGGCAGAUCAUUAAACUGCCAGCACUUCCUUCGUUAUACUAUUCUUACCCAAUGCAGAUGCAGAUUACAGAUAUCAGAUAUCAAGAAUGUUCAUACAGUUAUCCAAAUACAAUUCAUAAUCAGAUAAUACAGAUCAUUAUCACUUAAUAGUUAUCGCAACAAUUAUACAUACAGAUAAUCGAUUAUUUAAUCUCAAAAAAAUUGGAUAUCAAGCUAUACAAUCUAAUUUAGAUUAUAUGGACCCUAUGGAAGGCCUACGAUCGAUUCGAACGACGCUUAAGGCCCUAGGGAAAUUUUAAGUAUUUUGGUCCACAAGCCCAUAUGGAUUCACAAUGCCUGAGUACCUAGCUCGUGUGGUCCACACGGCUGUAUGGCUUAAACUAGUGACUUACAUGGUCUAGCACACGACCAAACACACGCUCGUCUGACUCACAACCCCACACAUGGCCUAGACACACACCUAUGUGCCUAGUCCGUGUGACCAAAAAUACAAACAGUGAGUUCCACGGCCUGGACACACGCCUAUGUCCUUAGCCAGUGUGACCAAAAAUACAAAUAGUAAGUUACAUGGCCUGGACACACAUCCGUUCGCUGUGUACCUCCAAUUUAAAAACAAUGAGUUACAUAGCCGUGUGGCGUCAAGAACCAAUUUUUUGGUGUUCGAAAAUUACAGAAUCUUGGGUUUUCAUUACACACCUGGUAUGAUUUUGACGUAGAAGGAGUAGAGGUGACCUCGAAACCUAAAAGUAGCCAUCAAUUGUCCAAUUACACGGUUUAGUCAAACUACUAGGCUAAUUAAACAAUCAACCGAAACAUGUCGAAAACUUCGACGCAACCCAACUAAAAAAUAUACACUCACCCUUGUACAAAUAGCAAUAUGCGAAAUUAACUCGAUGGAGAGACGAUGUUGUCACAAUCCUCGCCUAAAGGAAAACAAAUCAAAACUUAAACCAAAGAAUUCAAGCAACCAAGAAACUUACUUCGACAAAAUGGACAAACAAAUACCAACAGACAUUCAUAUCAACUUACACAAUUAUCACGACAAUUGAAUACAACGAAAGAUGAAGUUUCCUCAUCGUAACAACAACAAAAAUAUGGUAACACACAAGGGAAGAAAAAGAAAGAAGAAAAAAAGGAGAGAAAAAUAAGAAAAAGAAAAUAGGGGAGGAAGAAGGAGAAAAAAACAUCACAGAAUUCAAUUAACUUUUAAAAUAAAAACUAACUAUCCUAAUGGUUAAUGACCAAAAUAUUUCCUUAUUGCUUGCACAGGGACUCAAACACAGGACCAGAAAGUAUACAUAAACUUAAUCAUUGAACCAACAAGCUCAUUCUUGACAUAGAUUAACGUAGAAUUAAAUUGAAGUCGAGAGUUCAAAGGUAAGGGUUAAGUAAAAAUAAAUAGAGAAAUUUCAAAAAACAAUGCUCGAACCCCCGAUCUCAAACACAUAAACAGAGCACUUAACCAAAGAUACAGAAACUUAAUUAUUGACAAAAUUUAUCAAACAAAUGUUCAAAUUUUGGGGCAUUACAAAGAAAUUAUGUGAUGAUGUUAUAAGAGGAAGUAAAUACACACUGUACCUUUUUUUCCCUUAAUUGAUUUUUUGUCCCAUUAGAUUUUUUUGGUAAAAUUUUUAAUGAGGUAGCAUGUUAUGUGUAUUAUAGAUAUGUGUACUAGUUUUCCUUCAUUAAGAAUUUUUUCCCACAAAGUUUUUAUCUUAUUAAAUUUUAACAAGGCACAUUAAGGAAUUAUGUGGAUAAAUGCAGAAGUGGGUCGUAAAGUUUUUCAAAGUCACGGAUUUGACCUAUGGCUUUAGAUGUUCGGAAAGAAACUGAGAUUUUAACACAACCUGAAACGCAAUCAAAAUUCAAGUUAGAUAAAACUAUUAAAAAAAUUAAUUAAGAUAAUUAAAAUAGAAUAAUAAAUCUACAAUUAGAACAAUAAGGAAUAAAAUAAAGAAGAUAGAUGGAAAGAUAAAGCGUGGUAUGUAGAAGUCUUAAGAAGUCUUGGAAACACGAAAAAUCCACAACCCCCUUUAAGCGGCUCUAAUUUUCCCUCUAAUAAAAAAACUUGGCAAGAAAAAGUUUGAAGAUGAUUCCCACAAUCUGAAAAGAUUGUUAAAACUCUUCUAAAAGAAACUCAAGAAAAAUGCUUAAAAAGAAAACUCAAUGAGAAUUUAUUAACUCAAAAGAGAAGUUGGAUAAUAAUGAAUUGUAUAAUUUGUGUACAAUGCAAAGUCAUAUAUAUAGGCUAGCUAUAUAAAUCUAAAUAAAACUCUUAAGUAUACUAAAAUUCUAAUUAAUCUAAACAAGAAGUAGUUUUAAACUAAAUUUUCUUGUUAACAUAAAACUCGUAAAUAACUUAAACUACUUAAUAAUUAUUAAAAUUUUGGAAUAAUAAAAUAAUAAAAUAAUAAGAGCUGAUAAAUACAAUAUUGGGCUCAUAUAUAAUAAAAAUUAAGUCCAAAACUCGUAAAUAACUUAAACUACUUAAAAAUUAUUAAAAAUUUGGAAUAAUAAAAUAAUAAAAUAAUAAGAGCUGAUAAAUAAAAUAUUGGGCUCAUAUAUAAUAAAAAGUAAGUCCAAAACUCGAACCCAAUAUGAUUUAAACUCGAAUUAAAAGCCUAAAACUCGUAAUUCCUGUCAUAAUCAUGUCUAGAAAUUCUACUCGUGCAUUCUUUAUAAAAAUAACUUGAGCUCUCGAACUCGAAAAUUGAGUGAUUCAAAGUGCGUUUUGAAGCUAAGAGAUAGAUCCUAUAACACCAUGAAGACAUCUCAACCCAGAAAUGUCUGGAUUCCAUCCAAAAAGUCAUCGCAAGUCUGUUGAAUUCCCAAGCUUGAAAAUUGGCAACUUUGGUGAAUGGAAUUAAAUAAAUUUUACCCCAUCCGUGCAUGUAUCAUUCCCCCUUUCCUCGAAAUGAUUUGUCCUUGAAUCUUGUUUUUGAUCAAAUCUUGAUUUGGUUUUCUUGGCCUUUGACAUUCUUGUUGGGCCUUGAGGUAGUGUGAGCCCAUUACAUCCAUGGUUCUAAAAUUGAGCAUUGAGACUCGCAUUAUCUACCCUUUUCCUCAAGAAGAUUCGUCCCUGAAUCUUUAGUUGCACAAAAAGAAAAUGGAUUGGAAAAUAUAAUAAUAAAAUGAAAAAAAUACUUACCUAAAUUUUCUUGUGUGUCAAAACUAUCUCCAAGAUCAAAAAUAUGACCAAAUUAGCAUGGAUCAAAUAUCUCUCCUUCAAAAACAAACCAUCGACACUAAAUAAAGAAAUAUUAGGCACAUGAGUGUUCAAAUAAAAAAUAACUUGUAACUUUCUUUGAAUAUACAUGGUCAUCCAUAAGAAUUUCCAACGAUGAGUCAAUAAUUUCACAUAAUUAUAAAAAUCAAGAAUGUUAAGAUUGUGUAAAAAUUCAUCGUUAAAGGUCAAGAUAGAAAAUUUUGUUGUAAGAGAAAAUAUAUAAAAUGUUUUAGUAAACCUAUCUAGUGCAACAUAAUUACUAUUUUUAACCUUUACAAAUCUAGACAAACCCAUAAGAUUAAUUGAACUUUCAGACCAAGGUUUAAUGAAAUUUGACCAACGAGAAAGCAUGUCUUAAGGAAAAAAAUCAAUAGCAUACUUAUCAAAAACAUUUAUUGUAUGUCUUCUUAAAUCAAUUUCUAAUGUUUCCUUACCUUUCUUACCUUGUAGCACUUGUGGAGAAUUAUUAAUAUUUAACUUACCUCUCUCCCACAAGUAAAAGUGUCAAUCGAGGUUAGAGUAAUGUAAUUGGAAGUCCGUUAAUGGAUCCUUAAAAUCAUGUGACAAGGAAAUACCACUAGAUAAAUUCGAGUUAUGGUUAGUUAAAAUAUAAUCAUUCCUCACUUUUGCAGGAAUAUUUUCUUGUUUUUCAUUUUCUUUUCCCACUUGAGAACUCUCCAAUUUUACCUCAUAUGUAUUGUUACUCGCCAAAAGUGGACCAUCAAGUAGACUUUUAUCACUCAAGAUCUCUUUUCUCUCUAUCUUUUCAAUUUUUUCUUCCUUACUUCCCAUAUCCCCCUCACAAGUAUUACGAAUAUUCAAUUCAAUACAAUACAUCUUAGUAGGAGAACAUGACAUUUCUAUCUCAUCUAACUUAAUAGAUUCAAGGAAAAAAUCAUUACAAUCAUCUUUUUAGGAUUCACAAAGUUUGCCAUCAGAAAUCUAUUUUCCACUAGAGUAUGAGUCAACAAAAGGUAUAAAGUCAUACUUACUUUCUUCUCUAGUUGGAUAUUUAAUUAGACAUUGGAAACCCUUAUGAUCUUUUGAACUACACCAAUAACAUUGCACAAAAGGUGAUAUUUCAAUCGUAUUCCUCUAUUUGAAUAUUUAAUUGGACAUUGGAAAGCCCUAUGAUAUUUUGAACUACACCAAUAACAGUGAACAAAAGGUGAUAGCUCAAUUGUCUUCCUCCUUUUGUUUGGCCCUCUCCCCUUGAAUUGACAAACUAAUUUAUGAUCACCUUAUGAUCCCCUUGAGACUCGCAUCACACAUUAUCUAUUAAUAGUGUGAUGAAUAAUUUAUUAUUAUAAAGUGGAUGUCCAUUAGAAUAAAAAGUUUGAUGUACUUUAAGACACUAAUAUCCAUUAAGAAUAAAUUUUAUAUCAUUUAUAUUUCUUAUAUACAUAAAUAUUGACUUUAAAGAAGUAUUAUAAAUAUUUCUAUUGAUGAAUACAUACUUUUCUUUUGUUAUCCUAUUUUUUUAUUAUGUUAGUUACUAUGUUUUAUAUUUUAUAGCAAGUUUGAGUUUUUACCCCAAACUCAAUAAAUACAUUGGCAAAAUUUAGCUCAAGAAUCAUCUAACAACCCAAUCAUGUUAGCCCAGAACAAUAAAUAUAGCUCACCCAAAAUUUAGGACAACUGUAGCAUCUAGUUGGCUUCCCUACUUUGUAGCUUAUGCAAACAAAGGAGUGGACUCAGUAGGAAUAACAAUUCAUGUGUAAAAAAAAUAAUUAAAAACAUUUUAUGGGAGAAUAAUACAACUGUUAGCAUAAGGAUCCAUAGGAUAUUUUUUUUAUUUAAUAGUAAGUAUAGAUAGAUUAAUAGACUGUGAUAUUAACAAAAGCUAAUUUUUAUUUUGGUAGAAUAGUUUGCAAAGGAACUUAUUAUUGCCAUAAAUUUAAUAUAAGUUGAUACAUGAAUUGAAUAGGCGUUAAGCUUCCCGCCCACACCAUCAAAGACCUCUAGUCUUUAACAAUAAACACACAAAUUCAUGGGAUUUAAAUAAUCUAAAAAGGAAAAAAGAAGAAGAUAAAACUGCAAGCCAAGUGGAGCACGACCAAUUACUUAAAAAGCAUGUUUGUUUAACUUUAAGCAGCAACACUAUGGAGCACAACAGUCUCAACAGUGAGGCCAGGUCCAAACCCAAAGAGCACUCCCCACUCCAACCCUUCUCCUGUGGUCUGAAGCCCAUCUUCCCUUGAUUUCUUCCUCAUCUCAUCCAAAAUAAAUAGAACACAAGCACUUGACAUGUUACCAUACUCUGAAAGAACGUGCCUUGUGGCUCGUAGCUUCUCUGGCUUCAGUGCUAACUUGGCUUCUACCUGAUCUAAUAUUGCUGGACCACCAGGAUGAGCAAUCCAAAAAAGGGAGUUCCAAUCGGAUAUCCCCAAUGGUUGAAAUGCUUCUACCAGGCUCUUUUCUAUAUUCUUCGAAAUAAGCCCCGGAACAUCCUUAAGAAGGUGAAAUGUAAGCCCAACUUCACGAAGGUGACCAUCAAUUGCACCAUCACUAUCUGGCAAGAUCGUUUGGGCUGCUGAGACUAGUUCAAACAUGGGCUUCUCGAUUUCGGGCAUGGGGUCUGCCCCGAUUAUAACAGCUGCGGCACCAUCACCAAACAAUGCUUGGCCCACAAGACUGUCUAGGUGAGUGUCACUAGGUCCACGGAAGGUAACAGCGGUAAUCUCCGAGCACACAACAAGUACACGAGCACCUUUGUUGUUCUCAGCUAAGUCCUUAGCCACUCGGAGCACCGUCCCCCCUGCGAAGCAACCUUGUUGGUACAUCAUGAGGCGCUUAACGGACGGGCGGAGGCCCAAAAGCUUGGUGAGCUGGUAGUCAGCCCCAGGCAUGUCCACACCACUAGUGGUGCAAAAGACAAGGUGGGUGAUCUUGGACUUGGGCUGGCCCCAUUCCUUAAUGGCCUUGGUGGCUGCUUCUUUGCCUAGCUUUGGCACCUCAACUACCACCAUAUCUUGCCUAGCAUCCAGUGAAGGAGCCAUGUAUUCACAUACAUUGGGAUUCUCUUUCAAAAUCUCUUCUGUAAG